CUGGAGAGCCGGGGGGAGGUGGGGUCGCUCGGACAGGGGAGGGGGGAGAUGGCGGUGAGAGCACCAAAAGGACGUAGGUCUGGUGUUUGGGAGGUUGAGGUCUGGUGGUGGUAGCGGGGCUCGGAUGAGGGGGAGGUGUGGCCCGAGGAGGACCAUUCUAUUUAGACACGUCUUCUCUGUGGGACUGGGUUGCUUGGUGAGGGACGAGGGUGAGAGCGGUGCAGUACGAGACAGGGUGAAUAGGUUUCUGGAAGACCAGCCGUUCAGGUUAGUGGCGGUAAGGGGGAGGCGCCGCGCGGGCUACAAUCCCCCCCCUGCAGUUUUCUGGAGGGUCUAGGAGCUGUGUGUCGUGGCAACGCUAACGCUUUUGUGGUUUCGCCGGACUAUCCCGGGCCCCUGCAGUGGUGAUCAGGCUUGUGCGGGAUCCCUUUUCUUUAUAAGGCUACUUUCUCCCCUGGACCAGCCCAGGAAGGGACAGGUGGUGGAGGUCAGUUGUUUUAAGGUGGUUGCAAGACGUCUUGUGGUGUUGAGCUCUCUUAGCCUUUCUCUCUUGGAGGUUUUUUGUUGGCCUGUUAGGUAUAUCAGGAGCCCUCCCCUGCCGGGACUGCCCUAACCGAAUUAUUGUUUGUUUGUUUGUUUUCCCUUCGAAUCCCGUUUUCGUUGGUGGUGUUUUGGGAGGUUGUUUCAGAGAGCCUUUGACUUUGCCCUAGCUGAGACUUGUGGACUCGCUCUAGCGGGACCUGAGAGCCCAUCGUGGUGUAUUCACUGCAGCGCCAUCCCCGGAUGGAGUGGCUGCGGAGUGGCUGCGUAGAGUGUUGGCAGUCUGAGUCGGGGUCGGGAGCACACAAGACUAACCGACUUGUGGUGUGUGCUCCCGACCCUUGCGCUGUGUUUCGGCUUCGGCCCCCGGCUCUCGCAGCCCACAGUGUAAUCUAAGUCAUACAUACAUACAUGCAUACAUGCAUACAUGCAUACAUGCAUACAUGCAUACAUGCAUACAUGCAUACAUGCAUACAUGCAUACAUGCAUACAUGCAUACAUGCAUACAUGCAUACAUGCAUACAUACAUACAUAUGUAUGGAUGAGACCAAGCUUGACUAAGCUGCUACUAUGACCGUCGGCCAACCGCGGCCGUGGCCACCGACAGCGACCUCAAUUGUUUGNNNNNNNNNNNNNNNNNNNNNNNNNNNNNNNNNNNNNNNNNNNNNNNNNNNNNNNNNNNNNNNNNNNNNNNNNNNNNNNNNNNNNNNNNNNNNNNNNNNNNNNNNNNNNNNNNNNNNNNNNNNNNNNNNNNNNNNNNNNNNNNNNNNNNNNNNNNNNNNNNNNNNNNNNNNNNNNNNNNNNNNNNNNNNNNNNNNNNNNNNNNNNNNNNNNNNNNNNNNNNNNNNNNNNNNNNNNNNNNNNNNNNNNNNNNNNNNNNNNNNNNNNNNNNNNNNNNNNNNNNNNNNNNNNNNNNNNNNNNNNNNNNNNNNNNNNNNNNNNNNNNNNNCACGGUUGCUUUAUCCGAUGGGAAGGGAACGGCACAUUGUGAUGGAACUCUCCAUCCUUGAGCCAAAAGGAGGUUUAGCAGUGUUGACAGCGGCCAGGCGCAUCGUUAACGGGCGAUUGCGCGUGCCUGGGGUGCAAUUGACCCCGAACAUGGAGCCGAUGGAAGUGGAGCUGCUGGUGAAGAACCAGCAACAGGCUAAGCCCAUUGUGUGGGAGGUGAGAGGCGUCCCGGUCGGCCUCAGCUGUCAGGGCACGGCCGACUUCCUCCCCGGGCAUACCGGGCAAACCCCAGUCCCCAGGACGUGACGGAAUUCUCGCUCCUGGCCCCCACGACGAUGGCCGACACGUGGAGUGCUGGAGCUUACCAGCAAUCGCGGCCUUCCACGAGAACUCCCGUUUGAAUACGGGGAGCCAUCGGAGGCGUGCCACCAGAAGUGGCACCCUUCAAGCGAUCAGGAAGACCCCCCUGGAAGGGGAACCUUUCCUGAUGCCCCAGCCACCCCCGCGAGCAGCACUCGCCCAGCAGCAAAGGGGAGACGGGGCGGCAACAAGCACCCGCCCAGGCCACAGUGGGCAGGGGAUGGGAGUUGUUGUGGCACACUUGCAUAUUAACCCUCGGAUCUUUCCCCAAUUCUCUGGCACUUUGCCGCUGGGCAAUAUCUUCGCUCUUAUUUGGUUAACCAUUGGGCACUUGCCUAUCUCUUGGGCGCUGGCCCACCUUUAAGCGGGCAAUUGCCUGUCUUUAUCACGCGUGAAACUGGAUUAUAGCGCUCUUGCUAUAAUCGUGACACUUGUCACUGGUAGACCCACUUGGGUUACGAUUGCACCGAUUGGUGAUAAUUCGCGUUGACGACUAUAUCUUCGGACCGUACAGACUUCUGUACGGGUCGUCCUAACGCAGAGGCAUUUAGCCUCUUCUCAUUCACUAAUCGGUAGUUUUCACUACCACCUAAACAGUGGAGGUGGAUACAACAAGUGGUAUCGAGAUGUUCGGUCUCGACCAGCUCUUCCGCACCCAUCUCGAUUGUUAGUAAAGGUCAUAGGCUUACAGUGUUGGAGUGCUCGCGGCGGCUCUUCUGGGUAAGUGAAAGAUCGUAAUCAUCUGUAUUGUUUUGUCCUUGGUUGCCUCGCUCAUUGUUGUUGCAGAGGUUAGAAUGGGUGUGCUGGACCCGACUGAGGUAGAGCCGCUACUUCAAGCUCUCCCCCUAUCCGCGGCAGUGACUGCGUCAUUGCUGUAUUAGGGUAGGCCCUUCUCAGUUAGCUAAAAUGUUUAGCCCCGCCCCGUUUAAUUUGGGCGGCGACCGUAAUGGCGUAGACAUGGCGUCGGGCGCACCUGAUGCUCGUUCCACUUUGCCUGCCUACGCUGUUGCGGGACUUGUUUCCGACCCCGGUGCACCUAGUACUUCUAGAGGUCCGGGCGGCCCUAUUGAGGUCCCUGUUGCUGUUCGCGAACCUGAUGCGCGAACGCCAUUCUCAACUUUUGCCGCAGCACCUUUGUUGCAUAUGCCCACUGGGGCUGCCGAGAAUGUUCGUUUAAGGCCACUUGGCCCUACUGGUGAUGAACGUCUCCACUCCUUGCCUUCUUUGGCCCCUUUUGCUCUGCGCAACCCGCCUAAUACUCACAUGAAUCGUCCGGAUGUUCCAACGGUGAUACCAGAAACCCCGACGACAGAUGCGGACCACCGUGCUGCGGCUGCGCGUGCGUUAGCGGUGGAAGCGGCUGCUGCUGCUGGGGCUGCGGUUGCGGCGGCAGCCGCAGCCGAGCCAGAGCCUUUGCCUUCGGUUCGGCCGAUUUCUUCUGCCUACCUUCCUCGGGUUAGUUUACCGACUCCUGUUUUGCAGCUAGAUGCCAAGCUUGAUGCGAAGCAGACUGCUGCCCGCGUCAAGGCGUUUAUUCGUGACGCGUCUUUGUUUUUCGAAAUCGUGCCCUGGGGUAGGGACCAUCGUUCUUGCUGCCUGUUUUUGUCGCAAGCGCUCCUUGGCGCUGCAAAAACGUGGUAUGAUGAGUGGUCCCUAUCGCAGCGCGAACUCACUGCUCAGCUUGUUCUGGAUAACCUGCGUACGCGUUUCGCUCCUCAAGUUAUCUCUGUAGAACAAGAAGCACGACGUAGGCUCUCUGAAAAAUCUUUUGCGAUGCGUGCUAGUGAAAGUGUACCAGCUUACCUUUCGCGUCUUGAGGCCGUCUUCCAAGACAUACCCACGAUCACUCCUAGUGAGCGUAUGUUUUGGUUUUUCGAAGGCCUUUCUUCUUCCCUGCAGCCCCAUUGCGCCACAGACGUCUAUGGAAAGCCGUUUCCCUCUUACGACGCCCUGGUACAGCAUGCCUUGGGCCAGGAAGUGCGCGCCCUGUCUGAACGAAAAGUCCGUUCUGCUCUUCGUUCGAAUUCUGUUGUUUUGCAGGAUUAUGACGAAGAUGGGCCUCCAGUCAAGCGGGCGCGCGUGGACCCCGGUCCUCGUCUCGCUGCAGCUGUUGCUGGGGCCCCUAGGCAGACGGGAUGCGGAAGCGGUCCUGGGCGUAAUAGUCAUGGGGGUAGAACAGGUUCACGUGGCGGGCGCGGGGAUAGGGGUCGCGGCACUGGCCGUCCCAGUGCACCCGCUGGCGGAGAAUCCGCCACUCCGUUGGCGAAAGCUUGCGAGUUGACCAAGUGGGUCAACCAGUUCGGCCGUAGGUUGACGCACGGGGAGGUGGGAAUUCUCCGACAGCGUGCGGGCGGUAAGGCCGUCUGUUUUUGUUGUGAGGUGGUUAGUCCCGACCACCUCUACGACAACUGUCCCGCUCUCAAAAGGUUGUGUGAAGCGGGGCUGUGCUAGGAAUUUGCUCAGGGCGGUAUUGAGGGAUAUUACCCUGAGCUUCCUUUUGCGGGGAUUCGUUCUUUGGUCCGCGCGGUUAGACCCGCUGCGUUGGCAGAGUUUGAGAGUGCCGUUGGACGCCGUUUUUCUUUUGACGCCGUUGCUGUCAAACCGGGCUUUGACUCGGAAUGUAACAUAACGGUUCCUCGUGGUCGCACUCUCUGCUCGGUCGAUGUUGGUGGUCAUACUGUGCUUUUUGUCCCUGCAUCCCUCACUCAAUUGCGCGUUUCACUUCGGCACUACCUUGCAUGCAAGCACCGCCGUCCUGACACCGCGGCCGGCAUUUUGCUACCUUCGCAUAUCGCUCGGCGGGCUUCGAUGUUGCUAGCAGGUAUGUGCCGAGUGCUUACGUUUCCUGCGAAGUCCGUCCUUUUCAAUGGCCUUUCGCUUGAGGGUAAAACAGUAGAGCUUCCUGGUAUUCCGUACCCUGCUGAGUUGUGGUACGAUGCACCUUCACCUUGCCUCUCUGUUGCCCGGGAGCCCUUUGCUUCCUCUCUUUGCGCAGUUGCCUCCGGUUCUGUGGACACACGAGUUGCUUUGCCUCUGGUGUCUCUGCGGACUGGUGGCCAAACGUUUUCGGCAUUGGUGGACACAGGUGCUACUCACGACUUUAUUAGUGAGUCCCUUGUCCAACGGCUACACCUCCCGGUCCGCUCUUCGGACUGGUCCCAUGUUUCGCUCGCUGACGGAGGUAGGCAAGCAAUCGUGGGUCAGGUGUUGUUUCGCGUGGCAGUCGGGUCUUUGUACCUAACCGUCUCACCAUACGUUUUGCCGUCCUUGACUGAUGCUGCUCCUUUUAUUCUGGGGUCUGAUACUUUGCGUAAGCACUCUGCAUCCCUGGAUUUUCAGAACAAUAUUUUGCGUUUGUCAAAGGGUACUGUUCGGUACUCGAUUCCUUGGCGCGUGUCUUCUAAGGAUUCAGGUGACAGUGGUGCUGCCUCGUCGGCGCCCCUUGUUAAUUUUGCGGCUGCGGCCAUGUGUGCGCACGCCACCCCUGAGUCUAUUGGUCGUAAGGCUGCUAUGCGUCUUAUUCGCAAAGGGGCACAUGCUUUACUGGUUCGUCCUUCGGUUAGCCUUAACGCCACUUCUGUGAUUCCUCCCACUCAGGACCCUGAAGUUUCCGCACUGCUUGAGGAAUACGCUGAUGUCUUCCGGGAAAUUCCGGGUAUUCCUCCAGUCCGUCCGGUGGAUCACACAAUUCCGUUGGUGCCUGACGCCCAACCCGUCGCACGCCCUAUGUACCGACUUAGCCCUCUUGAGCUUGAUGAGGUCAAACGGCAGGUUACUGAGCUGCUUGCUAAAGGCAUGAUUCGCCCGAGUACGUCUCCCUUCUCUGCCCCGAUCUUGUUUGUGGGUAAGAAGGACGGUUCCCUACACAUGUGCAUAGACUACCGUGGGUUGAAUUCCAUGACCACUAAGAAUCGGUACCCUCUUCCGCGUGUAGACGAUUUGCUCGAUAAGCUUCGCGGGUCUGCUUACUUUAGCUCUAUAGAUCUGCAGCAGGGAUAUAAUGGACCCUAAGAAGACUGCUGCGGUGCGUGACUGGCCUGUCCCGACGUCCUUGCUUGAGCUGCGAAAGUUCCUAGGACUUACCAAUUACUUCCGCAAGUUUAUAGCCAAUUACUCGUCUCUCACCGCGCCGUUGACGAGUCUUACGCGCAAGGGAGCGUUUUCUUCCGCUGACGUUUGGACUGCUGAAUGUCAGGCGUCUUUUGAGGCUAUAAAACGUGCUGUUGCGGACGAUAUAGUGCUGCGUUUUCCCGAUUACUCUCAGCCUUUCCGUGUUGAGCUUAUUUCCGACGCCUCGCUGCACGGUACGGGGGCAGUUUUGCUUCAGAACGGUCGUCCUGUCGCGUUUUCCAGCAAGAAAUUUUCUGCUGCCGAACGCGGCUACACCACGGGUGAACAAGAGCUACUAGCCGUUGUUCACGCCCUGCGCGAAUGGCGCUGCUAUCUUGAGGGACGCCCGUUCGUUGUCAAAACCGACCACAAGCCUCUAACCUUCCUGCAGGGUGUUCCGACUCUUAACUGCCGCCAGGCGCGGUGGUUAGAAUAUAUGCAGCGUUUUAACUUCACUUGGGAACAUGUGUCUGGUUCUGUUAACGUUGCUGAUGCUUUGAGUCGCCAUCCUUCCUUGCACUCUGUCGUCCUGUCGGUUGUGACUUGACGUCAGUCUGUGGCUGCCGAUUUGACGAUUUCUGCUUUUGCUAAACGAAUCGUGGACGGAUACAAAACCGACCCUUGGUUCAACGAUCCCAAUAACGUCGACCAGUUGACCCGUGUCCAGGGUCUCUGGGUUCGCACUGAUGGUGAUCGACGUCAAACGGUUGUCCCUAAUGAUGAUUUGCUUCGCCGUGAUAUCCUUUCCCGUGUGCAUCAGGAUCCACUUUCCGGUCAUGUGGGUUCUACUCGCCUUAUUGAGUUGCUACGUCGCAACUUCUGGUGGCCACGGAUGGCUCGUGAUGCUGCUUCCUUUGUUGAGCAGUGUGACGUUUGCCAACGGCAGAAGCCAAUGUCUGGUAAGCAAUCGGGCCUGCUUCAGCCCUUGCCGAUCCCAGACUCGCCUUGGGAGAGUGUGUCGCUUGACUAUGUCGUCGCACUUCCUCUUUCCGAGGGGGGAUACGACGCUGUCCUCGUCAUUGUUGACCGCUUGACCAAGAUGGUACAUUUGGUACCGACCACCACGACAGUUACUGCGGAGCAAACCGCUCGACUGUUCUUUGAUAACGUGGUGCGUCUGCAUGGUGUUCCCAAACAAAUUAUUUCUGAUAGAGGACCUCAGUUUGGUGCCAAGUUUUGGGGAGCCCUUGGCACUUUGGCUAAUUUCCGAGUAAGCCUUUCUACUGCCUACCAUCCACAAACUGACGGUCAGACUGAGCGAAUGAAUCGCACUUUGGGUGAUAUGCUGCGUACUUACGCUGGCCACAACCCUCGUGUUUGGGACACCUAUCUUUCGGCUGCAGAAUUCGCGAUGAACAACGCUGUCAAUCGCUCUACGGGACAAUCUCCUUUCUUCUUAAAUUACGGGUUCCACCCAGCUACUCCCGUCUCACGUGAACUUGAUGUUCCGGUCCCGGCAGCCAAAUCCUUUAUUAAGUCGUACGUUGCUCGUAUUGCAGAAGCGAAGCAGUGUCUGGAAAAAGCCAUAGANNNNNNNNNNNNNNNNNNNNNNNNNNNNNNNNNNNNNNNNNNNNNNNNNNUUUUAUUCUGGGGUCUGAUACUUUGCGUAAGCACUCUGCAUCCCUGGAUUUUCAGAACAAUAUUUUGCGUUUGUCAAAGGGUACUGUUCGGUACUCGAUUCCUUGGCGCGUGUCUUCUAAGGAUUCAGGUGACAGUGGUGCUGCCUCGUCGGCGCCCCUUGUUAAUUUUGCGGCUGCGGCCAUGUGUGCGCACGCCACCCCUGAGUCUAUUGGUCGUAAGGCUGCUAUGCGUCUUAUUCGCAAAGGGGCACAUGCUUUACUGGUUCGUCCUUCGGUUAGCCUUAACGCCACUUCUGUGAUUCCUCCCACUCAGGACCCUGAAGUUUCCGCACUGCUUGAGGAAUACGCUGAUGUCUUCCGGGAAAUUCCGGGUAUUCCUCCAGUCCGUCCGGUGGAUCACACAAUUCCGUUGGUGCCUGACGCCCAACCCGUCGCACGCCCUAUGUACCGACUUAGCCCUCUUGAGCUUGAUGAGGUCAAACGGCAGGUUACUGAGCUGCUUGCUAAAGGCAUGAUUCGCCCGAGUACGUCUCCCUUCUCUGCCCCGAUCUUGUUUGUGGGUAAGAAGGACGGUUCCCUACACAUGUGCAUAGACUACCGUGGGUUGAAUUCCAUGACCACUAAGAAUCGGUACCCUCUUCCGCGUGUAGACGAUUUGCUCGAUAAGCUUCGCGGGUCUGCUUACUUUAGCUCUAUAGAUCUGCAGCAGGGAUAUAAUGGACCCUAAGAAGACUGCUGCGGUGCGUGACUGGCCUGUCCCGACGUCCUUGCUUGAGCUGCGAAAGUUCCUAGGACUUACCAAUUACUUCCGCAAGUUUAUAGCCAAUUACUCGUCUCUCACCGCGCCGUUGACGAGUCUUACGCGCAAGGGAGCGUUUUCUUCCGCUGACGUUUGGACUGCUGAAUGUCAGGCGUCUUUUGAGGCUAUAAAACGUGCUGUUGCGGACGAUAUAGUGCUGCGUUUUCCCGAUUACUCUCAGCCUUUCCGUGUUGAGCUUAUUUCCGACGCCUCGCUGCACGGUACGGGGGCAGUUUUGCUUCAGAACGGUCGUCCUGUCGCGUUUUCCAGCAAGAAAUUUUCUGCUGCCGAACGCGGCUACACCACGGGUGAACAAGAGCUACUAGCCGUUGUUCACGCCCUGCGCGAAUGGCGCUGCUAUCUUGAGGGACGCCCGUUCGUUGUCAAAACCGACCACAAGCCUCUAACCUUCCUGCAGGGUGUUCCGACUCUUAACUGCCGCCAGGCGCGGUGGUUAGAAUAUAUGCAGCGUUUUAACUUCACUUGGGAACAUGUGUCUGGUUCUGUUAACGUUGCUGAUGCUUUGAGUCGCCAUCCUUCCUUGCACUCUGUCGUCCUGUCGGUUGUGACUUGACGUCAGUCUGUGGCUGCCGAUUUGACGAUUUCUGCUUUUGCUAAACGAAUCGUGGACGGAUACAAAACCGACCCUUGGUUCAACGAUCCCAAUAACGUCGACCAGUUGACCCGUGUCCAGGGUCUCUGGGUUCGCACUGAUGGUGAUCGACGUCAAACGGUUGUCCCUAAUGAUGAUUUGCUUCGCCGUGAUAUCCUUUCCCGUGUGCAUCAGGAUCCACUUUCCGGUCAUGUGGGUUCUACUCGCCUUAUUGAGUUGCUACGUCGCAACUUCUGGUGGCCACGGAUGGCUCGUGAUGCUGCUUCCUUUGUUGAGCAGUGUGACGUUUGCCAACGGCAGAAGCCAAUGUCUGGUAAGCAAUCGGGCCUGCUUCAGCCCUUGCCGAUCCCAGACUCGCCUUGGGAGAGUGUGUCGCUUGACUAUGUCGUCGCACUUCCUCUUUCCGAGGGGGGAUACGACGCUGUCCUCGUCAUUGUUGACCGCUUGACCAAGAUGGUACAUUUGGUACCGACCACCACGACAGUUACUGCGGAGCAAACCGCUCGACUGUUCUUUGAUAACGUGGUGCGUCUGCAUGGUGUUCCCAAACAAAUUAUUUCUGAUAGAGGACCUCAGUUUGGUGCCAAGUUUUGGGGAGCCCUUGGCACUUUGGCUAAUUUCCGAGUAAGCCUUUCUACUGCCUACCAUCCACAAACUGACGGUCAGACUGAGCGAAUGAAUCGCACUUUGGGUGAUAUGCUGCGUACUUACGCUGGCCACAACCCUCGUGUUUGGGACACCUAUCUUUCGGCUGCAGAAUUCGCGAUGAACAACGCUGUCAAUCGCUCUACGGGACAAUCUCCUUUCUUCUUAAAUUACGGGUUCCACCCAGCUACUCCCGUCUCACGUGAACUUGAUGUUCCGGUCCCGGCAGCCAAAUCCUUUAUUAAGUCGUACGUUGCUCGUAUUGCAGAAGCGAAGCAGUGUCUGGAAAAAGCCAUAGACCGUACGACUAACUAUUACAACCGCGGCAGAGCCGAAGUUACCUUCAAAGAAGGCGACUUAGUGCUUUUAAGUACGAAAAAUCUGCGGCAGUUAGCCGUCGGACCUCGUAAACUAUUGCCGCGGUGGGUGGGUCCUUACCCUGUGAAGCGCAUGGUUGGCAAAGCAGCGGCCGAGCUUGUCCUACCGUCUGAUAUGCGCAUCCACCCCACCUUCCACGUAACGUUGUUGCGGCCUUACAAGGCGCCGGCGGAUGCGUUGGAUUCUUCAACUGUUCGCGACAGUUCUUCUGCACUUUCUAGUCCUGCAGGACCGCCGCCGGUUCAGUGGCUGAAGAGCGAUCCACUUUACUCGGUCGAGUGCAUACUGGAUUAUCGUGCCCGCCGCCUAGGAAGACGCCGUAAGGGGCUGGUGCACGAGUACCUCGUCAAAUGGACCGGGUAUUCCAAUGAACAUAAUAGCUGGGAGCCAGAGAAACACUUUACGCCCGACCUUCGCCCCGAACUUCAAGCAGUUAAGGCUCGUGCCACUAACACUGCGAGGACGCUGCGUCCUGAGGGGGGAUAGUUGUUGUGGCACACUUGCAUAUUAACCCUCGGAUCUUUCCCCAAUUCUCUGGCACUUUGCCGCUGGGCAAUAUCUUCACUCUUAUUUGGUUAACCAUUGGGCACUUGCCUAUCUCUUGGGCGCUGGCCCACCUUUAAGCGGGCACUUGCCUGUCUUUAUCACGCGUGAAACUGGAUUAUAGCGCUCUUGCUAUAAUCGUGACACUUGUCACUGGUAGACCCACUUGGGUUACGAUUGCACCGAUUGGUGAUAAUUCGCGUUGACGACUAUAUCUUCGGACCGUACAGACUUCUGUACGGGUCGUCCUAACGCAGAGGCAUUUAGCCUCUUCUCAUUCACUAAUCGGUAGUUUUCACUACCACCUAAACAGUGGAGGUGGAUACAACAGGAGUACAGGGGCAACUGACCAGAUUCUUGAGCCCGAUGGAUUUCGAUGCCAUCCAGAGAGACAGGGGUCACUGCUCUGGCGCAGCAGAGGGGGGGCCUGCAGGAGUUAACCCUCUGGGACCCCCCAGCGGCCCCAAGCCCAGAAGGGCGGUGGAUGAUGGCAGCGGGCUGAAUGGAGUGAGGGGGGGCAAGGGGGACAACAGCGGCAGUGGCCCCUCUAUCCCACCCCAGGGCAGUAGUGAAGGUGAUGCUGAGACGAGCUGGACAGUGAUGGGCAGGAAGGGGAGGAAGACCCCGGCGACGGCUGCAAAGGCUGCACCAGCAGAGACCAACCCCUUUUUGGUGCUGGCGGAGCUGAGGGGAGAGGAGGACGCCCCCACAGAUUUUCCUGCUCCAAUGGGGGGGAAUGACACCUAUGGCCACACAACAACCGGGGGACCAGCAGCAGCAACAACAUCCCCCGCAGCGAACCCCAAUGGGAUUUCUUCCACACCCACGGCCACGGCCGUGAAAGGAGCGCCGGCGGCAGCAGCACUGCCGGGGGCACCAGAAGCAGCAGCACUAGACCCAACCCCACCCCCCGCAGCGAACCCCAAUGGGAUUUCUUCCACACCCACGGCCACGGCCGUGAAAGGAGCGCCGGCGGCAGCAGCACUGCCGGGGGCACCAGAAGCAGCAGCACUGGACCCAACCCCACCCCCCGCAGCGAACCCCAAUGGGAUUUCAUCCGCACCCACGGCCACGGCCGUGGAAGGAGCACCGGCGACAGCAGCACUGCCGGGGGCACCAGAAGCAGUAGUACUGGACCUAACCCCACCCUCAGCGGCACCGGACCUCCAUAAGGGGAAAGCAUGCAAGCCCCGCAAGACCCAAGGAAUAAAGAAAAUCCGCAGGCCAGACCUGACGGGGGAAGCCAGGCGCACGUUCUUUCUGGCGCAAACAGCUGCAGCCCGAGCAGCCCGCAAACAAUCCGCAGAACUGGACCAGCGAACUAAGGACCAGAAGCGGCUGAUCCAUAAAACGUCGGCAGCGGAGAGACGCAGCGAGCUUAUCCAGUCUGCCCGUAAGCAGAAGGCGAAAGAUGCCGAAGCCACCCAGGGGACCCAGGCCUCGGGGAGGGAGCUGGGGACUGCUGCAGCGGAGGGGGACGACACGAUUAUGGAGGCGGAAUCGAUGGGCUCCCCAUCCCAGAGCCUAAUAUUACACCUCCCCACCGCCUCCCAACCUGGUUUUAAAGACCAGCCCACUGCCACCCCCACCCAACUCUGUUGAUGGAAGCAACGACCACAAUCAAGUGCCAACAGGGCGCAAUGCAGGGACGGCCACUUCGUAUUGCAACACAGAACAUGCAGGGUCUGCUGGCCAAACACAAGGACAAGAUUCAUGCAGCAGCCAAACAGUGGAUAGAGAUGGGGCUGGAUGUGAUCUGCCUGCAGGAAACCCACCACACCAAUGCCCACCACCAAUCCCUGUUUGAACGCGAGCUAAGCAUGGCAGCUGCAACAGCCCACAGCCAGGGCUGGCGAGUAGUGGCCAGCUCGUGGUCUAACUCCAUCCACACGGGGGGCGUCCUUACCCUCGUCCGACAAGGCCUAACAGCUACCGUGGAGACCAAGCCUAAUAAGCCGAGUGUACAGGGUCGGCUGACGAGCUGCCUGCUUCGCUGGGGAGGACACUGCAUUGAGGUCUGCAACAUCUAUGUCCCCACCGGCACUACUCAUAGAGCAGCAGCCCUCAGGCAAGAACUGAUCAGCAACAUCCUGGCAGCAACGGCCACGCAGGCAGAUACAAACAAUGACACCACCCUUAUAUGGGCGGGGGACUUCAACUUUGUCGAAAACCCAGUGCUGGACUCCACAGCGGGGGAGGAUGGGCGGAGGGGAGAUGGCCCCAUAGCAGAAAUGCUCCGCACAGCUGGGCCAGCCAUGAUGGAUAGUCACCGUCAGCUUCAUCCCCUGCGCCAUGACUACACCCACCUCUACCGAGCGCCCCGCCCAGGAGGCUCCCGACUGGAUCGCAUUUAUGUGAAUCAAGCCGUGAUGCCGUAUGUUGCUCGCACGGAGAUUAUCCAGCACACCCCCUCAGAUCACCAGCCGAUGGUCCUACACCUGCUGCCUCGCCGGGUUGAACAGAGGGGCCCGGGCAUUCGCCGGGUGCGCAUGGCCUUCACGGCGCAUGAAGACCUGGCCACGAGCCUGGAGGCCUGGAUUACCGACCAGUGUGCCGCGGCCCCAUCUGUGGAGGACAAUCCUGCUGGCCUGAUCGAGUGGUGGCCUGCCUUCAAACGCCGCCUCGCUACUCGUGCACAUCAGCUCAACAAAACAGCGCAACAUCGCAGGCUGCACCCAGGAGCCCGUGUACAAGCAGCCCUACCAGCAGUCCAGCAGGCCCGACAAAGGGUCGACACAGAGCCCGGAGCACAGCAGCCCUUACAGCAACUGGUGGACGCACAGGCGGCACUAGCACGGGCCCACCGAGAGGACUGCAGCAAGGAGGCGAUGGAGGCCCGCAUACACUGGCUACGGGCAGGGGAGCGGCCGAGCCCAGCCAUGACUGCAUUCAUCCAGGCCCAAAGCGCGGACCAACAACCAGCUCCCGUCGCCCUGCAAGCCCAGUCCGGCCGCCUAGUGACUAAUCCUAGCCAGCUUCCCCAGGUGGUCGCAGACUUCUGGAGUGAAGUGAGCCGAACUCCCAACUACAUCUGCCCCCAAGCCCAGCAGGAGGUGCUAAACUCCCUGGCGGCCGCCAACAUCUCGCUACCCGCAGAGGCAGAUGAACAGCUGGGAUCCAGAACCAUCACGGCCACCGAGUUACGAAAGGCUCUUAAGAAAAGCCAGCCUGGCAAGGCCCCGGGGUGGGACGGCAUCCCAGCCGACAUCUACAGGAAAUUCUGGUCGGCCAUUGGCACCACCAUGGCUGGCCUGCUCACCGCCAUAGGCUUGACGGGGCAGGUGCCGAAGGGCUUCUUGGAGGGGGUACUGACGGUGAUCUACAAAAAAGGCGACCCCAAACUCCCUGGCAACUACCGUCCUAUCACCCUGCUUUGUUCGGACUACCGACUGCUCACCAAAGUGCUGGCCAACCGCCUAAGCCCUGCCCUUGGCCAAGUCAUAACCCCCGAGCAAUCAGCCUUCCUACCUAGGCGCCUCAUUGGAGCUAGUGUGCUAUUCCUGCGUCACCUGUCACACCUCCUUCGCAAGCAGAACCGCCGGGGGCUCCUGGCAUUCCUGGACUUCGCCAAGGCCUAUGACACGGUGGAUCGUGGGUUCCUCCUGGCAGCAAUGGAGACCAUGGGUGCAGGGCCACAGCUCUGCGCCUGGGUACGGCUGCUGCUGAGCGAAACACGAGCCAGAGCGAUGGUGAAUGGCUACAAAUCGAAGCUGGUGAACAUGGAAGCAGGGGUACGGCAAGGGUGCCCCCUCACACCCUUGCUCUACCUCUUCGUUGCUCAGGCCCUACAAUGCUGACUCCGGAGCCAAGACGUGGGGAUCAAAUUACAGCCAGCCGACUCACAACCAGUCACCGCGUGCCAAUAUGCGGAUGACACGGAAGUGGCGCUGCAGGGUGAAGACUCAGUACCAUCAUUCCUCCAGGCCAUGGACACCUUUGCCCGGGUGUCUGGCCAACGCCUAAAUCUCGACAAAGUGGAGCUGCUGUGGAUUGGCCAAUUAAACCAACAGCAGGCGCAACCUGCAACCCAGGCCGGACCCCAAUCAGCUGCCCCUCAGCAGGAGUCAAUAGGAGGUCUCAAGGUGGUGACCACCGCCACCGCCCUGAACCCGCCAAUUGACAACCAGCCAUCCCCGCCACAGCCCGACUGGAUGAAGAGACUCAGGGAAGCCAAGCGGCGACUGCAGCGGCUCUCCCGCUUCCCGCUAUCAGCAUUUGGUCGAGCCACAGCGGCAUCGGUGUACGGAAUGCACACAGUCACCUGGCACAUGGAGCAUGGUGGGCCGCCCCCCAACCGUACGCUGGACGAAAUAGAACGCCUAACGGCCCGCCUCGUCGACCGGCAGCAGGGCCCAGAAGACCCCGGCCGCCGUUUGACAGGGGUGCCUAAGGAUCUCUUGACCGGCCACCCGUCGGCUGGAGGCUUUGGCCUGCUGCCCCUCCAGCAACACAUCCAGGCUCGGCAUGCGGUAUGGGCUGUGCACUUCAUCAUAGCGGCCCUCGGGCUAUCUAACGCGUCAUGUGGGACAGGGACAGGUGGAGCUGCAGGAACCACAGGUGGUACCGGGGGACACGGGAGGGCAGAUGGUAGUCUCCAUCCCUGGGUCCGGACGCUCUCCGCCUAUAUGCUGCUCACCCACCCCGCCUUCCAACCGUGGGCCCUGACGACCGCCAGCCAAGCCGGGCCCCGACUCGGCGGAAGCGACCUACCCACGGAUAUCAGCCGGAUUGUGGGAGCCCUGGGACACCUACCACCGCUCCGGGAUAUCGAGACCAGCCCCCUGUCCCCCGGACCGUGGUGCUGGGCAACCGUGUUGUGGGGUAACCCGUUGCUCCCCAAUACCGGCGAGGCAGACCCAGACAGUUUGAACCGCCGCCCGGGCCUGGAGACGCACUUCGUGGGGAUCGCUACAUGCAGGAAACUGCAAACGGUGGGCGACCUAGUGCGGGUCUGGGACCUAGUGGUGCAUACUCGAGUGGCCUCCCUCCCCAGGUCGACCUGGCCCGAAUGGGUCAGGACACACCUCGACCCAUCAACCCCAGCACCCACACGAGACAGGUCAGCGACCCUGGCAGCCCUUAAGACGCUACAUGGCGCUAUCAACCCGGCCUGGCUCGAAGCUGCAAGAGCAGUGGAAACCCAACAGCAACAGCAACCCCAGCCGCAGACACAGCUGCAGCCACAGCCGCAGUCACAGCCACAGCCGCAGCCACAGCCGCAGCCACAGCCGCAGCCACAGCCGCAGCCACAGCCGCAGCCACAGCCGCAGCCACAGCCGCAGCCACAGCCGCAGCUACAGCCGCAGCCUCAGCCGCAGCCACAGCCGCAGGUACAGCCACAACAGCUGCAAACACAACCACAGCUACAGACACAGCAUCAGCCGCAGCCGCAACAGCAGCAACAGCCACAGCAACAGCUACAGAUGCAGCCGCAUGAGCAGCAACCCCAACAGCAGCAGCCAGGGAGGCCAACGGCGGGGGAUAUGGCGGCUCCAAGCACCCCCAACAGCACUCAGGCGAUGGCUAUGAUCCUAAAGUGGGUCGGAUGGCAGAUGCCGGGCGGCACAACAACCGUCCCACUCACACGCCUGACGGUCCGCCUAGCGACACAGCUGCAAUGCGGGGCCACCGAGGAGAAACGGGGACGCUUGAUGGCAGCAUUUGUGCAAGAAGUGUUGCACCCGCAGGAAACGGCACCUUCCUCCUCAGUGGAAACAAGCCGCUUCAGGGCGACGCAAGCCCGCUUGUGGUCGGGGGUGCGGUGGGAGAACGAGAACAAAGAAACACUGUGGCGGCUCACCGUGGACGGCAUCCCCCUGCCCGGCAACACGCACCUGGCCCGCAUGGUGCCGGAGCGCUGUGGGUGUGGAGGGUUCGGCAACGCCAGCAACCAGCACUGCUCCCCACGCAUGCACCACUUCUGGGAGUGCCCCGUCGCACAAGCUGUCCGGGAGCAGAUUGAUCGACACAUACAGCCCUCCCAGGAGGCAGCGACAGGCGGCAUCACCCGGAAGCAGCUGUGGUUGGUCCAAGCCCCGACCGGCUGCGAGCAGGCCCCCUGGGAUGUGAUCGCCCUGGCAGCCCUGUCUGCCAUGGAGGUAGGCAGGUGCUGUCUGCGAGCAGCCGGAAGGCGACUGGAAAGGGCGGCUAACCCCGCGACAGAACAGCCAGAGCAAGUGCAACAGAUCCAGGUGCAAGGGCCCCAACAGCGGCGGAUAACGGACUUCUUUCACCUGGCCAACGGAGUGAGACCGCACGAGGGGCCGCCGCUGAACGCGCCGGUACUCGAGGAUCCAACGCAGGGGCCCAUCGCGGGACCGGGGACGGCAACAGCAGCAGCAACAGCAGCAGCAACAGCAGCAGCAGCAGCAGCAACAGCAGCAGCAACCCCCCUGGAAUACGCCCGUGCUCGGGCAGUAGUGGACUUCUGGGCGCGCUUGCGCUCUUUCACCACGCUUAAUGUCCCAAGGCGGGGCUGGGACGAAGUGGGACCCCACCACCCGAUCCUGUCAAUCGUCGGGGGAGCACUGCGCUGCGCGAAGGCGGUGGACAUCACGACCUAAUGGUCAAGCGGACACGGCGGGAGCUGGAGUUUAGGGGAUAAGGGGAUAGGGUGUCGAGGCGCGGAGGGGGGUUUUGAGGUGGUGGGGGUGGUAGGGAGGUCGAGAGGGAGGUUGAGGGGAUAUGUUGCGAGGGGGGCGGGAUCAGGGAUGGGGCUUGGGGGGUUGCCGUGCAAGGGGACAUGGGGGAGGGAGGGUUUAUUUGCCUGGGGGAGCCGUACCUGCGGAGGGGGGGGAGACCGGGGAAAGGGCGGGGAGAGCCGGGGGGGGAGGGGAAGAGGUAGAGAGUACACCAAGAGGAUGUAGGGUUGAGGGGUGGUGAGUGGAAACAGGUGGCCGUAGCGAGGGCGCGGAUGAGGGGGAGGUGGGCACCCAGAAGGGGGGGCCGUACUCGAAGGUGCGCGUGUGGUGCAGGACUAGGUUCUUCAGGGUACGAGACCGGGUUUUUCGUGGUGCGGCGUCUAGGUGAGAUAGGAUCUUGGGAACCAGCCGUCUUGGUAGAGCGGUAUUGGGGGGGCGCCGAGCUGGCUACCCUCCCCCCCUGUGGUUUCCGGAGGCUUGAUCGCCCGGCGUUGCCGCAGGGUCUUCCCGUUUGAGUACUUUUCAAUUUAGACCCAGUGCUGUGGAAGGGCGCGGACUUGUGCGGUGUUACCCCCUCGACGGGGGCUAUCUCCCCUGGACUAGCCCAGGGAGGGAGAGGCGGAGGAGGGUAGUAGUCUCAGGAGGCUGUUUGGCGUCUUGUGGUGUGAGCUCUAUGCGCUCUUUUUUGCGUGAGGAUUUUUGAGCUUGGUCACCUCCCCAGCCCGGGAAGACUCGUUGGGCUCCCGGUCGCCCAAGUCCUGGUAGCGAGCUCUCUGAGAUGCUCGGUUCGUUCGGUCGGCAGGUAGAGCCCCCCAGUUGAGACUUCGUUUAGGUUAGGAGACCAACGGGCAUAGAUCCCGUCUAGUUGGAGCGCCAAACAAGCGCUGUUGCGUGCCGGCCGUCGUUUCCCGUGCGGCCUGACCCGGGGGCGGAGUGCAUGAGACUAACCAGCCGUAUGCACCCGCCCCCCGCGCUGUGCUUCGGCCCUGGGCCCCCGGCUUUUCAGCCCACAGUGUAAUCAACGUCAUACAUACAUACAUGGAUGAGACCAAGCUUGACUAAGCUGCUACUAUGACUGUUGGCCAACCGCGGCCGUGGCCACCGACAGCGACCUCAAUUGUUUGAGCGUAGUUAUGUUUAUCUAAUUAGCCUGAAAAUGUUGCAGAGGCGAGCAGCAGUGUCUGUUAGCUGCGGCAAUGUUCAAAAUGGCCGCCAGCCGACCUCAGCCGUGAGACCGCAAUCCAUACCGACCAAAAAGAUAAAGGCCGUCAGUGGCUUUUACGGAACAAAUGAAGGCUUGGCUAUCUACAGAGCCACACUAGAACUGGAACCGAUCGUGGUGACAGUCCGGUGGCCAGCGGGCUCAGAUACGGGCGACAUCAUCGCGCAAAUAUACGGUCCAUUAGGACUUCAAAUUCUGGCAACAAUUGGCCAAAUCUUCCGCAGCAACCAGGAGUUCAACCGUAUACUAAGGGUUUUAUACAUACAUGCAUACAUACAUGCAUACAUGCAUGCAUACAUGCAUACAUACAUGCAUACAUGCAUACAUACAUGCAUACAUGCAUGCAUACAUGCAUACAUACAUGCAUACAUGCAUGCAUACAUGCAUACAUANNNNNNNNNNNNNNNNNNNNNNNNNNNNNNNNNNNNNNNNNNNNNNNNNNNNNNNNNNNNNNNNNNNNNNNNNNNNNNNNNNNNNNNNNNNNNNNNNNNNNNNNNNNNNNNNNNNNNNNNNNNNNNNNNNNNNNNNNNNNNNNNNNNNNNNNNNNNNNNNNNNNNNNNNNNNNNNNNNNNNNNNNNNNNNNNNNNNNNNNNNNNNNNNNNNNNNNNNNNNNNNNNNNNNNNNNNNNNNNNNNNNNNNNNNNNNNNNNNNNNNNNNNNNNNNNNNNNNNNNNNNNNNNNNNNNNNNNNNNNNNNNNNNNNNNNNNNNNNNNNNNNNNNNNNNNNNNNNNNNNNNNNNNNNNNNNNNNNNNNNNNNNNNNNNNNNNNNNNNNNNNNNNNNNNNNNNNNNNNNNNNNNNNNNNNNNNNNNNNNNNNNNNNNNNNNNNNNNNNNNNNNNNNNNNNNNNNNNNNNNNNNNNNNNNNNNNNNNNNNNNNNNNNNNNNNNNNNNNNNNNNNNNNNNNNNNNNNNNNNNNNNNNNNNNNNNNNNNNNNNNNNNNNNNNNNNNNNNNNNNNNNNNNNNNNNNNNNNNNNNNNNNNNNNNNNNNNNNNNNNNNNNNNNNNNNNNNNNNNNNNNNNNNNNNNNNNNNNNNNNNNNNNNNNNNNNNNNNNNNNNNNNNNNNNNNNNNNNNNNNNNNNNNNNNNNNNNNNNNNNNNNNNNNNNNNNNNNNNNNNNNNNNNNNNNNNNNNNNNNNNNNNNNNNNNNNNNNNNNNNNNNNNNNNNNNNNNNNNNNNNNNNNNNNNNNNNNNNNNNNNNNNNNNNNNNNNNNNNNNNNNNNNNNNNNNNNNNNNNNNNNNNNNNNNNNNNNNNNNNNNNNNNNNNNNNNNNNNNNNNNNNNNNNNNNNNNNNNNNNNNNNNNNNNNNNNNNNNNNNNNNNNNNNNNNNNNNNNNNNNNNNNNNNNNNNNNNNNNNNNNNNNNNNNNNNNNNNNNNNNNNNNNNNNNNNNNNNNNNNNNNNNNNNNNNNNNNNNNNNNNNNNNNNNNNNNNNNNNNNNNNNNNNNNNNNNNNNNNNNNNNNNNNNNNNNNNNNNNNNNNNNNNNNNNNNNNNNNNNNNNNNNNNNNNNNNNNNNNNNNNNNNNNNNNNNNNNNNNNNNNNNNNNNNNNNNNNNNNNNNNNNNNNNNNNNNNNNNNNNNNNNNNNNNNNNNNNNNNNNNNNNNNNNNNNNNNNNNNNNNNNNNNNNNNNNNNNNNNNNNNNNNNNNNNNNNNNNNNNNNNNNNNNNNNNNNNNNNNNNNNNNNNNNNNNNNNNNNNNNNNNNNNNNNNNNNNNNNNNNNNNNNNNNNNNNNNNNNNNNNNNNNNNNNNNNNNNNNNNNNNNNNNNNNNNNNNNNNNNNNNNNNNNNNNNNNNNNNNNNNNNNNNNNNNNNNNNNNNNNNNNNNNNNNNNNNNNNNNNNNNNNNNNNNNNNNNNNNNNNNNNNNNNNNNNNNNNNNNNNNNNNNNNNNNNNNNNNNNNNNNNNNNNNNNNNNNNNNNNNNNNNNNNNNNNNNNNNNNNNNNNNNNNNNNNNNNNNNNNNNNNNNNNNNNNNNNNNNNNNNNNNNNNNNNNNNNNNNNNNNNNNNNNNNNNNNNNNNNNNNNNNNNNNNNNNNNNNNNNNNNNNNNNNNNNNNNNNNNNNNNNNNNNNNNNNNNNNNNNNNNNNNNNNNNNNNNNNNNNNNNNNNNNNNNNNNNNNNNNNNNNNNNNNNNNNNNNNNNNNNNNNNNNNNNNNNNNNNNNNNNNNNNNNNNNNNNNNNNNNNNNNNNNNNNNNNNNNNNNNNNNNNNNNNCCGCCCGGGAUGACUCGUCGGGCUCCCGGUCGCCCAGGUCCUGGUUGCGAGCUCUCUGAGAUGCUCGGUUCGUUCGGUCGGCAGGAAGAGCCCCCCAGUUGCGACUUCGUUUAUGUUAGGAGACCAACGGGCAUAGAUCCCGUCUAGUUGGAGCGCCAAACAAGCGCUGUUGCGUGCCGGCCGUCGUUCCAUACAUACAUACAUGCAUGCAUGCAUGCAUGCAUGCAUGCAUGCAUGCAUACAUGCAUACAUGCAUACAUGCAUACAUACAUACAUACAUACAUACGGGCAUUCGCCGGGUGCGCAUGGCCUUCACGGCGCAUGAAGACCUGGCCACGAGCCUGGAGGCCUGGAUUACCGACCAGUGUGCCGCGGCCCCAUCUGUGGAGGACAAUCCUGCUGGCCUGAUCGAGUGGUGGCCUGCCUUCAAACGCCGCCUCGCUACUCGUGCACAUCAGCUCAACAAAACAGCACAACAUCGCAGGCUGCACCCAGGAGCCCGUGUACAAGCAGCCCUACCAGCAGUCCAGCAGGCCCGACAAAGGGUCGACACAGAGCCCGGAGCACAGCAGCCCUUACAGCAACUGGUGGACGCACAGGCGGCACUAGCACGGGCCCACCGAGAGGACUGCAGCAAGGAGGCGAUGGGGGCCCGCAUACACUGGCUACAGGCAGGGGAGCGGCCGAGCCCAGCCAUGACUGCAUUCAUCCAGGCCCAAAGCGCGGACCAACAACCAGCUCCCGUCGCCCUGCAAGCCCAGUCCGGCCGCCUAGUGACUAAUCCUAGCCAGCUUCCCCAGGUGGUCGCAGACUUCUGGAGUGAAGUGAGCCGAGCUCCCAACUACAUCUGCCCCCAAGCCCAGCAGGAGGUGCUAAACUCCCUGGCGGCCGCCAACAUCUCGCUACCCGCAGAGGCAGAUGAACAGCUGGGAUCCAGAACCAUCACGGCCACCGAGUUACGAAAGGCUCUUAAGAAAAGCCAGCCUGGCAAGGCCCCGGGGUGGGACGGCAUCCCAGCCGACAUCUACAGGAAAUUCUGGUCGGCCAUUGGCACCACCAUGGCUGGCCUGCUCACCGCCAUAGGCUUGACGGGGCAGGUGCCGAAGGGCUUCUGGAGGGGGUACUGACGGUGAUCUCAAAAAAGCNNNNNNNNNNNNNNNNNNNNNNNNNNNNNNNNNNNNNNNNNNNNNNNNNNCCUGCUGCCCCUCCAGCAACACAUCCAGGCUCGGCAUGCGGUAUGGGCUGUGCACUUCAUCAUAGCGGCCCUCGGGCUAUCUAACGCGUCAUGUGGGCCAGGGACAGGUGGAGCUGCAGGAACCACAGGUGGUACCGGGGGACACAGGAGGGCAGGUGGUGGUCUCCAUCCCUGGGUCCGGACGCUCUCCACCUAUAUGCUGCUCACCCACCCCACCUUCCAACCGUGGGCCCUGAUGACCGCCAGCCAAGCCGGGCCCCGACUCGGCAGAAGUGACCUACCCACGGAUAUCAGCCGGAUUGUGGGCGCCCUGGGACACCUACCACUGCUCCGGGAUAUCGAGACCAGCCCCCUGUCCCCCGGACCGUGGUGCUGGGCAACCGUGUUGUGGGGUAACCCGUUGCUCCCCAAUACCGGUGAGGCAGACCCAGACAGUUUGAACCGCCACCCGGGCCUGGAGACGCACUUCGUGGGGAUCGCUACAUGCAGGAAACUGCAAACGGUGGGUGACCUAGUGCGGGUCUGGGACCUAGUGGUGCAUACUCGAGUGGCCUCCCUCCCCAGGUCGACCUUGUCACGACAAUCUAGCGUCACGUUCAUUUUACCGUCUUUAUAAUCGUCUUAGGUUAUAAUCGGUGUGAAUACACGAAUUUCGUGUAUAAUCGUGUAAGGUGUUUGGUUCUUAUCUUACACUUCGCUGAUCGACUUAUGGACGAGACGUGAAUGUAUGCUCGUUUGCGUAUGUUUUUGUAUUUUACCUGUUAAUUGUCUAUUUCUUGUGUGAAUGUUCUGUCACACGGUCAUAAGGUGUUUCACUUGUGUCAUUUGUGGACUAUACGUCGUGGUCGUACUCGAGGCUUGUCUUUUGAGGGCCUCCUGUGAUCAACAACUUGACUUCGGUAUUUAUAGCCGGCAGCGAGCUUGGAAAAGUCGCUUUACGGCUCAUGAUCGGAACAUUGUAAAGUUCUCUGAGCUAGACAACAAGCCCUGUGCGGACCUCCCUUCUCGUAAGCCACAUAAGUAACUUCCUUUCACCAGCCGAACUCCUGUGUGGGCCACUCAACGCCCAUAUCCUUCACGCCGGGCAUACUCAGUUGGUGAGGUAAAUCUUUGCCACUGUUGAUUGAUUGCCUGGAGGGAAUCUUGGCCCCUUUCGCGGGUUGCUAUUUGCUGCGUAUUACGACUUGCCCGUUCGUGUGCCGUCUAGUCAGCAUUCAAGCUACCUGCAGGACUUCGCCUAGACCACCCUGCAUUCCAUAGCCGUAAAGCCUAAAUCAGGCUAGAAGACCAAGUAAGUUCGGUUUUUGGUUUACCUUAGGUGUUCUGUCGCCUAGGGGAUAUUCGGGUUGCUUUUCGCAGCACCCUUUUUGGUAGGUUAGGUAGGCUAGGUCACGCCAGCCGCACCUGUUAGCAGUGUUACGCACAGCUGCCCUACUAUUCAGCAAUUUCGGGCCAUUUUCUACUGGGUCGAUUUGCUUUCGUAUUCGGUCACUCUGACAAUCGAUACUGUGUCACGCACAGCCGUCUGUUGGACACUCGAUCCCGAAUACUUUAUACAAUCAACUCGUUUUACCAUCUAGGCUUGGUCAGCCCAGCCUAACAUUAUUAUUAUAUAAUACAUUCAGCUCACCUGAACAGCAGGUUCGAGCUUCUCUGUGCUUAACGAUCAUUUCGCGUACCUUCGGCCGAAUUAUACGGGGUCACACCAAUUCUUUUGCUUUCACUAGCCUCAAUUCGCUACUGCAGUUUACAUCGAGGCAGUUAACCCCAGGCCACGCAGAGGACGCUCAGGGCGCAGUCCCUUUGGUUUUCACACCAACACUUUUCUUCACAGUGGUGUUCGGGCCACUCCAGUCAGACACCGGCACCAUCGGUUGAUUCCACAUAUCUUCGAGCCUCUUGGCAAAUCUCCUGAACUCACUUUUAUAGGUCUUUUGGCUCGCGGCGUUAGGGUCGACAUCGAGCCGCGACCGGUCAUUUGCAAUAUCCGCUACCUGUCAGCUGUGCAGCUAUAUCUGGACCUGGACCAGCUUCCCAGGCCGAGGCAAACUAUUGUUAUCAGCACAACAGGUGUUGCAAUUUCCUCUAUUUGAAUACGGAGACUUUUGUGCGCCUAAGCGCAAUGAUAUGAUGGAGUAAACGCUGCAAGCUUAUCGAGUCGGUACUCUACUCUUUCCCGACCCAGCGUUACCAAUUAUUCCAGCUGUUUUUACGCAGCUACUCUUUGUUUGCAGCUCAAUACUACGCAACUUUACAGCGACACCAGCUUAGGUGGGGCGGGUUUAGUACUCUUUAGUAGUCGCUAGGCUUUUUAUUGCUUAGUCCUUGCCUGUUCGCUUCGCGUUUGUUGCUGCAUCUUUUCCUUUUUCUUAUCUUGUUUUUCGUAAGCUAAUUGUUACACAGGGAAGCAUAAGUCCCACGGAGCCUCUACGUCGCAACAUCCCGCGGGCCGCCACUGCGCAACAUCUUCGCUCGACGACUCAGCGAGAUCAGCAGGAGGUAAGCAAGGUUUCGCGUAAGGAUACACGUAGGGUGUCCACCUCAGGGUCUAGUACUAGUGAAGCCGCCCGUAUUCCGCGCUCGCGUUCCGAUAGUGGCCUAGCAGUACAGGUGGAACUUCCCCUGACUAAGUUAGCUCUAACUGAGGGUGAGGUUACUGCUCCACUAGAAACCCGCGGAACAGAUUCCGAUAGGGAGAAGUGGUCGCGUCUCUUUGAAGCGCUAGGUAGGCCCCGCACCUACAUCAACCCUAUCUUUUCUAGGGAUAGCGACUCAGACGACGAAAUAAUGCAGAACCUCUACCCCACUCUCGACCCGUUCCAGCACAGCAGGUUGGAUUAUUUCCUCACUAAGGUUUUCCAGCAAGGAGUUGCCUACCCUCUUUCUAGGAACAACUUGUCUGUUGAGAGCCUUAAGUCGUACCUGGACGCUCUGCCUGGACGAAACACGCCAUUUGAAGCGUGGUACAACUCACACAGGCAAAACCUCAUAUCUAGGGUAACCCCAAAGUUUAGAAAAAAAAGUAUUCUCAUCUCAAUCUAUUGAGAUCUCAUGAGAUCUCAAUAGAAUGGGUUAUAUUCUAAUCUCAAGUUUUGGCAGCUUUCUGGGAAAUGCAUGACUGGCUCUGAAACUUUGUAGGAUGAUUCUGUAUGGUAUAUUUGUUAUAAUAAUUAAGUUUUGGGACGUUGCGAAGCACAAUUGCACGACAGAAACAAGCAAUUAUACUCCGCCGCAGUAUUGACCCAUGGGUCACAGCAUGCGAGGGCGCACUGGACGGUCGAGUUCACGCCACAGGCGCUUAUCCCUUUGAUGCUUCUUAAACUCCAUACCCUAAGGGUUAAAGUUUCAACGAAUCAGGGCCCAGAUCAUCAUUCCUAAGCCCUGGCAAUGCACAAAAGCCGACAUGGUAUGCCAUCAAGAUCCCAUGCUGGCCAAGUUCAGCAGACAUAGACUGCUACCAAUGCCGACCGAACAACUUGAAUCCCUAGCUACUUCACUCCUCCUCCUCCCCGGCCAGCAGCUGCAUCACCACCUCCUCAUCCGACAGGGUGUUGCGCUUGGCCGCGUAGCUGUCGUUCUGGCGGAUGAAGAUGAGCUUCAUCGCACGCAUCUGCCCCAGGCGGUUGUGGGCCUUGUGGAACAGGUUACCCCACAGCGACCAGUUGCGCUCUGAUGCGCAGGUGGUUGCGUGCAUGCGGAGGACGCGGUUGGCCACGAAAGCCAGGGCCGGAUACGAAUCCGCCAUAUGCACCGUCCAAAACUUCAGGCGCAACGGCAGCCCGGCCAGCUCAACCUUCUUCACCUUCGACUUGCCAACCGUCUGCUCGACCUCCUUGCGUGCAGUCAGCGUUGGCAUGAAAUCACGGCACUCAUCCGGUACCCUACCGGUCUAGUAAGGAAAUAUAUGGCUUCUAAAGAUUUAUAAAGAAUUAUAGUGCCGUACAUUAGAUAACGACCCAACCGUCUCCUCAAGUGCCAAAAAAGACCUUCUAAAUUCUCAAUGAGAUUCUCAAGAGAAAUAAUUAGAUUAGAAAACCGACUUUAGAUGAGUGCCAACCCUACUCAUAUCUAAAGCCGCAGCACACUUGGUGUAUCCGAACCAGGUGCGGCAGCCAACACCGUCUCCCCGCGUCAACUGUUUGACUAUUACGCCCACAUCCUAGAGGAAAACUUUGCCUCCGCGCGCGCUGAAAGUGAUCUUGCGCGCUUCAAAAGCAUGCAGCAGGGAGCUCUCUCUCCCAUAGUCUUCAAGGAUAUGCUGCUAGCGCUUGAGAAGAAGCUGGACGGUAGAGUCAGUAAACACCAAGUCGCCGAACGUUUCCUUGAGGGCUUAAACCCCGUGGUUCGGCAUCACCUGGAGAGGCACCUCAUCACCGUGGAGCGUACCAAAUGGUAUGAUCGUACCGGAUUGCCUGUGAAAUCUUUUGGUACUGUAUUGCCGAGGGUAUCACACUGCAGGCGGAGUGGCGGCCGCGAGAAGAAAACACUCUGGCGGACUACCUCUCAAAGCUGCAGGACCGGGACGACUGGAUGGUGAACCGUAAGGAAUUUCAGAGGCUCAACACCGCCUGGGGCCCCUUUGACAUUGAUCUUUUCGCGUCACACACCAAUCACCAGCUGCCACAAUACUAUUCCCGCUUUUUCACGCCAGAUACCGCGGGUGUAGAUGCCUUUCGGUUCCACUGGGGGCGGAAUUGCUGGGUGAAGGUCCUGCGGCACGCAGAGCUGUGCAAAGCACGCAUCUGUCUGAUCGUUCCCCUCUGGCCGACACACGACUGGUGGUCCUAUCUGACUCAAGACGGGAAGUGGUUUGCGCCUUGCGUCCACGGCCUAAGAGAGCUGGGCAAGGCGUAUGAUCUUUUCCUGCCAGGGUCUUCGGGAAACGAGGUCCCAAAAGGGUCCGCUAACUGGCUAUCGCUCGCACUUCUCAUCGAUUUCCAAACACCUUCCCCGCGCUGGAUCGCUGUGCCCCCCGACCCUUAUGCCCCCCGGCUUUCACAGGAAUAAGGGCACGCGUGCAGACACUGCUUGGCCAGGUGCCCUUGGACGCUAACCCAAUGAUCGGCGAUCUAGCUCUGGCGUUGGCAAGCCAGGCACACAAGGUGCGAGCUAGCAGCACAGUCGCCCAGUACAAGGAGCCAUGGCAGGAGUUCCUAGAUUGGGCAGAGCUACUACAUAUUCGGGCGAGCGACAUUUACGACAUCAGGCCAGAGAUAGUGGCCAUGUACCUGAUGCACGUCUACCAAACCGUGCAAGCGGAUGAAGUAGGUCCGGGUCGCAUCGCGGGAGCGAGCGCUGCUAUUGCCUGCCAUUUCUUCCUCACGGGCCGCCCCUCACCUACGGAGCACCCAGCAUGCAACCUCGUUCGGGACCUGGGCAGGCGCACACUGCAAGGGAAGAAGCUGCACAGGGAAAGCAUGCAACCAGAGCAUGUCCGCAUGUUGGCCGCUCACUUCGCUGGGCCGGAUGCCUCACUGCCAGACCUGAUGAUGGUAGCGGCCAUAUCAGUUAUGUUCGCGGGUUUCCUAAGGUUCAACGACCUAGCCCACAUCUCCGUCAAGUCUGAUCUGCUCACCCUGCACGACACUCACAUGGCCAUCACACUGCCUAGGUCCAAAACGGACCAGGAGGGCAAAGGGCAGACCAUCCGGAUCGCGCGCGUGGGGGGCGUGGCCUGCCCAGUGGGCUUGACAGAGAGGCUGCUGGCGCUUGGUAACUAUGUCCGUGUCCCCAGUUCCCCCGUGGAGGAUGUGGGUCCGCUGCUGUGCAGGGUUAAGACGACACAGCAAGGCCACCAGCUGCAGCAGAGGACCGGCUCUGUUCAGUCACCGAUCCCCAGCCUCAGCUAUACCUCCUUCCGGGAGAAGCUCGCUGCCAUGUGCAGCGCCGUGGGCAUCAAGCGCGGCAUCAUGCCACACUCCAUGCGCAUCGGGGGAAACAGUGCGGCAGCAGCCAGAGGGGUAUCUGAAGAAGCCCGCAAGGCCCAUGGUCGCUGGAAGACGGACGCAAUGGUUCAGCUAUAUACCCGGCUGGAAGACGAUGCCGCACUGGAAACCACGCGCAACCUGGGCCUCGCCUGAGUCAGAGGGCCCCUCCUGCUAUCUUUUCUGUCUGCAGUAGUGUAAGGCCCUUGGCAGCCCCGGUUUCGCCUCGCCCUGUCCUAUCCGGCACCCCGAACGCAACCAUACAGCAAGCCAUGAAGGCUAUAGGACAUAAUUGUAGCUUAGAUGCGGCAGGAGCAAAAGCGAGUAUAGCCUCUAAGCUAGGUUAUGUACGGCAGCCGUAUGGCUUGCUGAGAAUUCGAAUUCACUAUUUCAGCUGACAGCUCCAUAAUUCCGGCAUUCUGCCUACACUAUUGGAGCUUAUUAUUAUUGUUGCUCUCAUUGGGGCUCCUGGCAUUCCUGGACUUCGCCAAGGCCUAUGACACGGUGGAUCGUGGGUUCCUCCUGGCAGCAAUGGAGACCAUGGGUGCAGGGCCACAGCUCUGCGCCUGGAAACACGAGCCCAAGCGAUGGUGAAUGGCUACAAAUCGAAGCUGGUGAACAUGGAAGCAGGGGUACGGCAAGGGUGCCCCCUCACACCCUUGCUCUACCUCUUCGUUGCUCAGGCCCUACAAUGCUGGCUCCGGAGCCAAGACGUGGGGAUCAAAUUACAGCCAGCCGACUCACAACCAGUCACCGUGUGCCAAUAUGUGGAUGACACGGAAGUGGUGCUGCAGGGUGAAGACUCAGUACCAUCGUUCCUCCAGGCCAUGGACACCUUUGCCCGGGCAUCUGGCCAAUGCCUAAAUCUCGACAAAGUGGAGCUGCUGUGGAUUGGCCAAUUAAACCAACAGCAGGCGCAACCUGCAACCCAGGCCGGACCCCAAUCAGCUGCCCCUCAGCAGGAGUCAAGAGGAGGUCUCAAGGUGGUGACCACCGCCACCACCCUGAACCUGCCGAUUGACAACCAGCCAUCCCCGCCACAGCCCGACUGGAUGAAGAGACUCAGGGAAGCCAAGCAGCGACUGCAGCGGCUCUCCCGCUUCCCGCUAUCAGCAUUCGGUCGAGCCACAGCGGCAUCGGUGUACGGAAUGCAGACAGUCACCUGGCACAUGGAGCAUGGUGGGCCGCCCCCCAACAUUAUGCUGGACGAAAUAGAACGCCUAACGGCCCGCCUCGUCGACCGGCAGCAGGGCCCAGAAGACCCCGGCCGCCGCUUGACAGGGGUGCCUAAGGAUCUCUUGACUGGCCACCCGUCGGCUGGAGGCUUUGGCCUGCUGCCCCUCCAGCAACACAUCCAGGCUCGGCAUGUGGUAUGGGCUGUGCACUUCAUCAUAGCGGCCCUCGGGCUAUCUAACGCGUCAUGUGGGCCAGGGACAGGUGGAGCUGCAGGAACCACAGGUGGUACCGGGGGACACAGGAGGGCAGGUGGUGGUCUCCAUCCCUGGGUCCGGACGCUCUCCACCUAUAUGCUGCUCACCCACCCCACCUUCCAACCGUGGGCCCUGAUGACCGCCAGCCAAGCCGGGCCCCGACUCGGCAGAAGUGACCUACCCACGGAUAUCAGCCGGAUUGUGGGCGCCCUGGGACACCUACCACUGCUCCGGGAUAUCGAGACCAGCCCCCUGUCCCCUGGACCGUGGUGCUGGGCAACCGUGUUGUGGGGUAACCCGUUGCUCCCCAAUACCGGUGAGGCAGACCCAGACAGUUUGAACCGCCACCCGGGCCUGGAGACGCACUUCGUGGGGAUCGCUACAUGCAGGAAACUGCAAACGGUGGGGCGACCUAGUGCGGGUCUGGGACCUAGUGGUGCAUACUCGAGUGGCCUCCCUCCCCAGGUCGACCUGGCCCGAAUGGGUCAGGACACACCUCGACCCAUCAACCCCAGCACCCACGCGGGACAGGUCAGCGACCCUGGCAGCCCUUAAGACGCUACAUGGCGCUAUCAACCCAGCCUGGCUCGAAGCUGCAAGAGCAGUGGAAACCCAACAGCAACAGCAACCCCAGCCGCAGGCACAGCUGCAGCCACAGCCGCAGUCACAGCCACAGCCGCAGCCACAGCUGCAGCCACAGCUGCAGCCACAGCCGCAGCCACAGCUGCAGCCACAGCCGCAGCCACAGCUGCAGCCACAGCCGCAGCUACAGCCGCAGCCGCAGCCACAGCCGCAGCCACAGCCGCAGCCACAGCCGCAGCUACAGCCGCAGCCUCAGCCGCAGCCACAGCCGCAGGUACAGCCACAACAGAUGCAAACACAACCACAGCUACAGAUACAGCAUCAGCUGCAGCCACAACAGCAGCAACAGCCGCAGCAACAGCUACAGAUGCAGCCGCAUGAGCAGCAACCCCAACAGCAGCAGCCAGAGAUGCCAACAGCGGGGGAUAUGGUGGCUCCAAGCACCCCCAACAGCACUCAGGCGAUGGCUAUGAUCCUAAAGCGGGUCGGAUGGCAGAUACCGGGCGGCACAACAACCAUCCCACUCACACGCCUGACGGUCCGCCUAGCGACACAGCUGCAAUGCGGGGCCACCGAGGAGAAAUGGGGACGCUUGAUGGCAGCAUUUGUGCAAGAAGUGUUGGACCCGCAGGAAACGGCACCUUCCUCCUCAGCGGAAACAAGCCGCUUCAGGGCGACACAAGCCCGCUUGUGGUCGGGGGUGUGGUGGGAGAACGAGAACAAAGAAACCCUGUGGCGGCUCGCCAUGGAUGGCAUCCCCCUGCCCGGCAACAUGCACCUGGCCCGCAUGGUGCCUAAGUGCUGUGGGUGUGGAGGGUUCGGCAACGCCAGCAACCAGCACUGCUCCCCACGCAUGCACCACUUCUGGGAGUGCCCCCUCGCACAAGCUGUCCAGGAGCAGAUUGACUGACAUACAGCCCUCCCAGGAGGCAGCGACAGGCGGCAUCACCCGGAAGCAGCUGUGGUUGGUCCAAGCCCCGACCGGCUGCGAGCAGGCCCCCUGGGAUGUGAUCACCCUGGCGGCCCUGUCUGCUAUGGAGGUAGGCAGGUGCUGCCUGCGAGCAGCCGGAAGGCGACUGGAAAGGGCGGCUAACCCCGCGACAGAACAGCCAGAGCAAGCACAACAGAUCCAGGCGCAAGGGCCCCAACAGCGGCAAAUAACGGACUUCUUUCACCUGGCCAACGGAGUGAGACCGCACGAGGGGCCGCUGCUGAACGCGCCAGUACUCGAGGAUCAAACACAGGGGCCCAUCGUGGGACCGGGGACGGCGACAGCAGCAGCAACAGCAGCAGCAACAGCAGCAGCAACAGCAGCAGCAACAGCAGCAGCAACAGCAGCAGCAGCAGCAACAGCAGCAGCAACCCCCCUGGAAUACGCCUGCACUCGGGCAGUAGUGGACUUCUGGGCGUGCUUGCGCUCUUUCACCACGCUCAAUGUCCCAAGGCGGGGCUGGGACGGAGUGGGACCCCACCACCCGAUCCUGUCAAUCGUCGGGGGAGCACUGCACUGCGCGAAGGCGGUGGACAUCACGACCUAAUGGUCAAGCAGACGCGGCGGGAGCUGGAGUUUAGGGGAUAAGGGGAUAGGGUGUCGAGGCGCGGAGGGGGGAUUUGAGGUGGUGGGGGUGGUAGGGAGGUCGAGAGGGAGGUUGAGGGGAUAGGUUGUGAGGGGGGCGGGAUCAGGGAUGGGGCUUGGGGGGGUGCCGCGCAAGGGGACAUGGGGGAGGGAGGGUUUAUUUGCCUGGGGGAGCCGUACCGGCGGAGGGGGAGGAGACCGGGGAAAGGGCGGGGAGAGCCGGGGGGGGAGGGGAAGAGGUAAAGAGUACACCAAGAGGAUGUAGGGUUGAGGGGUGGUGAGUGGAAACAGGUGGCCGUAGCGAGUGCGCGGAUGAGGGGGAGGUGGGCACCCAGAAGGGGGGGCCGUACUCGAAGGUGCACGUGUGGUGCAGGACUAGGUUCUUCAGGGUAUGAGACCGGGUUUUUCAUGUUGCGGCGUCUAGGUGAGAUAGGAUCUUGGGAACCAGCCGUCUCGGUAUUGGCUGCAGGCAAGGGAGAGGCCGAGCCCAUCCCUUACAGCCUUCCUCCAGGCCCAGGCUAUAGACCAACAACCAGCCCCUGUCACCCUGCAAGCCUUGUCCGGCCGACUUGUUACCAACCCUGCUCAACUGCCCCAGGUGGUAGCCGACUUCUGGAAGGAUGUGAGCAAGGCCCCGGACUUCAUCUGCCCCCAGGCCCGCCAAGCCGUUCUGAACUCCCUCACCGCACCAACAUUAAGUUCCCAGCAGAGGCAGAUGAACAGCUUGGAGCCAAAAAGAUCACAGCCACCGAACUGCGGAAGGCACUCAAGAAGAACGCACCUGGCAAGGCCCCAGGGCGGGAUGGGAUUCCAGCCGACAUCUCCAGGAAAUUCUGGUCAGCCAUAGGUAAUACCAUGGCAGGCCUGUUCACUGCCAUUGGCACGACCGGGCAGGUGCCCGCAGGCUUCCUUGAAGGGAUCAUCACAGUGCUCUAUAAAAAAGGCGACCCCAAGCUCCCCGGCAACUACCGCCCCAUCACGUUGUUAUGCUCGGACUACCGGCUCUUUGCUAAGGUACUGGUGAACCGCUUGGGCCCAGCCCUGGGACGGGUCAUCACCCGAGCAAUCUGCCUUCCUCCCCAAGCGCCUGAUUGGGGCCAGCGUACUCUUCCUGCACCACCUGUCACACCUCCUCCACAAGCAGAACUGCCAAGGGCUUUUGGCAUUCCUGGACUUUGCCAAAGCAUACGAUACAGUGGAUCGCAGCUUCCACCUAGUGGCCAUGGAGGUGAUGGGGGCAGGGCCACAGCUGUGUGCGUGGGUACAUCUGCUACUGAGUGAAACCCGAGCCCGGGUGUAAGAGGGAUCAGCACCCCUGGCAUCUCUCAACAGAGUACUCUUUGCCUGAUGUUACAAUGGUGCGAGUUGCUAGGAAGGAGGGAGAUCCCGGGAUUGAAUCCGGUUGUGAACAUAACUUAUAUGUUACAUAACACAUCCCAGGCAUGAUGCUGCAUACUCUUACCCCAAAGGUGGAUGUCCAGGCGGGCGAGAAGUCUACCAGCUGAGUAAACCCACAGUCCUCCAUCUCGGACGGGGACUGACGAAAUGUCACAAACAACAAACUUACUUCCAAUCCUACAGGAUCUCAAACAAUCUAAAAUCCUACAGGAUAUGCCCGGGGGGGCGCCCGAGGAUGUUCACUUGAGGGGGGGAGGGAUGUAAGAGGGAUCAGCUCCCCUGGCAUCUCCAAACUGUGUACUCUUUGCCUGGUGUUACACUGGGCGAUGGUCAAAAGGUACAAGUCCAGGCUGGUAGACAUGGAGGCUGGUGUCCGACAGGGCUGCCCCCUGGCGCCUCUGCUGUACCUCUCCAUCACCCAAGCUCUCCAAUGCUGGCUCCGGAGCCAGGAGUUGGGAAUUAAGCUGCAACCGUCCGACCCAAAUCCCGUCACCACCUGCCAAUAUGCAGAUGACACGGAAGUGGUGUUGGAUGGCACGGAAUCAGUCCCCUCCUUCCUACAGGCCAUGGAAACAUUUGCCUGGGCAUCUGGCCAGCGACUCAAUCUGGAGAAAGUGGAACUGCUAUGGAUUGGCCAGCAGCGACCGCAACAACAGCAGCCAGCACCAGCAGCAGGACCCCAGCUAACAGCCCCCCAGCAGGAGACAAUCAGAGGACUUAAGGUGGUAACCACUGCUACUGCCCUGAACCUGCCGACAGACAACCAGGUGACCCCACCACAGCCGGACUGGAUGAAAAGGAUGUGAGAGGCCAAACGGCGGAUGCAGCAUCUGUCCCGCUUCCCGCUGUCAGCAUUUGGAAGGGCAACGGUGGCGUCGGUGUAUGGCUUGUGGACGGUCACCUGGCACAUGGAGCAUGGCAGACUGGCCCCAGACCGCAUGCUGGACGAGAUAGAGAGACUCACAGCUCGCCUGGUCGACCGCCAACAAGGCCCAGAUGAUCCUGGCCGACACUUGACUGGCGUGCCCAAGGAACUCCUGAUUGGUCACCCAUCGACAGGAGGCUUUGGUCUGCUGCCCCUCAAGAGCUCUGGCAACACAUCCAAGCCCGGUAUGCGGUGUGGGCAGCUCGUUUUGUCAUCACAACCCUAGGGCUGCGAACAGGAAACACGAGAACGGAUACAGGUGCAACAGACACAGAUAUGCAGGUGGACAGAGGUAUCCAUCCUUGGGUCCGCACGCUUUCAGCCUACCUUCUGCUCACGAACCCCGCUUUCCAGCCAUGGGCCCUGACAACCACGAGCCCAACUGGGCCCUGGCUUGGGACUCAUGACCUGCCGAAGGAUAUCAGCCAGAUUGUGGGGGCCCUGGGACACUUGCCGCCACCAGAGGACAUCGGGACCAACCCACUGACACCCGGUGACCGGUGCUGGGUGACUACAUUAUGGGGAAAUCCGCUAUUCCCCAAUGCUGGAGGGACUGACCCAACGGAACAGGGCCGCCACCCCGGCCUGGAGUACCAAUAGCCUGGGCUUGCUACCUGCAGGAAACUACAGACGGUAGGGGACCUGGUGCGGGUUUGGACCCUGGCAGAAAGCAGUGAUCUGGCAACCCUCCCUAGGACGGUGUGGCUGGAGUGGGCCCGGACUCACCUCGACCUGUUUACCCCGAUCUCCACGUGGGAUAAACCCGUGACCCGGGCAGCCCUCGCGGUGCUGCAUAGCAGCAUAAACCCUGCCUGGCUCGAAGCUGCUAAAAUGAUUGAGACCCGGCGACAGCAGCAGCAGCAGCAGCAGCAGCGGGGGCUAACGGAACCGAUGCAGUGGCAGCGGAAGGGGAGGAGGCUGUCAUACCGUCACCAGCACCACUGCUGACCAGCAUGCAAGUGAUAGGUAUGAUUGCUGGGUGAAUUGGGUGGUGUAUAUCUGGGAUGGCGGAAGCCAUCCCGCUGGCACACCUCACGGUUCGCCUGGCGACACAGCUGCAAUGUGGGCCUAUGGAGGAGAGGAGAAGAUGCCUGGUGGCUGAAUUUGUGCGGGAGGCGACGGAUCCUCAGGGCCUGUCACUGCCGCCCCCCUCGGAAAUCAGCCUAUUCAGGGUGAUGCAGGCCCGCGUAUGGUCGUGGGUACAAUGGGAGAAUGAGAAUAAUAGCCAGUUCACAUGCUACAUUACAUUAAGACUUUUUGGGAAAAGUGGUCGGUUCGGACAUGGUAACGGUACGUUACCGGUAAAGUGGACGAAAAGUCUAAAGUGACCCGGGGGGGGGUGAAUUUCGACCCCUCGUACCGUUACCUGAAUUGCGUCGCCAAUUUCGCGAGUUAUAACAAACAGCCAAGCCCAAUCGCUUAUAAAGACCACAUAUUUGACAAAUUGUGCGCGCUUUGCACUCCGACCGAAUUUCUAGUCACACCGCUGCAGUUUAUUUUGGAAAAUGAACAAGGACAACGCCGCUCAUGUUGCUCGCCCGCGCACGACCGCUUACAUAGCCAAUAUGUAACCCAUUGUAGUAUCAGGGCUGAAGCCAUCCGCGAAAUGGCAAGUCGGCCGCACUUCCGGCGGCAUGGGCUGCAUGGCCCCUAUGGCAUAAACAUGUCGGUUACCGACCGUUUGGGGCCCAUUAACCCAACCGGCCGGUUGAAUGGCGUUAACGGCCCGGUUGGGUUAACGGUCGGUUGGGUUAACGGCCAGUUGGGUUAAUGAUCAGUUGGGUUAACGGUCGGUUGGGUUAAUGGGCCCCAAACGGUCGGUAACCGGCAUGUUUAUGCCAUAGGGAGUAUCCCGGUAGCGCGGGAAGCAUCGUUCGCCAAUAUUAAUUAAAGGCCUCUAACACUGCAGGAAAAUUGUAGUAGAAGAUUUAGAACUAUGUAUGUAUUUAGUUUUAGUGUUUGUUCCCGCUUUGAGGGCGUGAAAUGCCGUGUCAUUGUCCCUAAUAAGUCAUUGUCCCGGCAUUUCAAUUGUCGCCCAUAAGCAUGAACCAGGCCACCAACUCACAAGCUUACAUGCAACAACUAAAACCAGGCAAUACUAGCUACGCAAGCUAUGCUAGGACAAACUUUUGAGACAAGGCAUCCUCCAAUUGGCACGCGGUAAAUUGACUUAGAUUGUUUGCCCUGGCAAACUUAUGUACUCCAAGCUCAUCCACUGGACGAUGCUGGCUGUAUUUCUUGCGUGGGCGAUCUUGUCGCUGACGGGCGAUGUUGUCCAGGGCGUUCCGGUCAAACUCGUAGGCGCCGACCUCAUUACCGUUGUCCAUGGACAUUGUGUUGGAAGGAUACGUUAAGGUUCAGAUAAAAUGAAGAAAUGAAGAAGCGCUCCUUCAUAGUAUGGAGAUGGUAGAAUCUUCAAGCAACUUUUGAACGACCAGGGAGAGUUGCUGAUAGGCGAAUUUGUAUAAAGCUAUAAAAUUCCUUUAUUCUUUCAAGGUAAAUGAAUGCUUAUGUAUUCGUCUGUUAGUAGCGUGAAGCUUUGAACACUCUUUGUACGGCAGAUUCGGCACAAUGUUUUGCCUCAUUGCGAUGUUGCCUGAAUAUUUUGAACAGAAGGGAUCACUGCUCAUGCUGGUGCAGCAAGACAUGUAAGGAGAUGGCCUGGUCACAAUCCAGCAGUCAUAUAUCGACAAUCUCAAGCUAUGACAACUUGUUACAUGUGUUUGUAAAAAAAGGGACUUUGCGAUGGUGUGGGGAGCUCUUUGAGUGGUGGGACUGUGGAAAUCCAGUUUGUUUCGCCCGUAACAAGUUUGUUACGGGCGAAACAACGUCCCUCUGAAACGUUUGGAUAUGCCUAUGCAACACAUUUCCUCAAUGUCAUGAACUGCAAGUAUUCUAAUCCAACAUCACCCCAAUCUCAGUGUAAACUAGUCUCCAAAUGUGCCUGCACAAGACUGUCACCCCUGUCACCCGGCAUUCACAUUGCCUUAACCUCCUCAAGCUUGUCGGGUUGUGACACGUGGGCAUGAACCUUGUGACAAUGGGCAUUGUCACAAAGAAACUGGUUGCAAUCAGAAAUGCAUUUUUGCUCAUGCCAGGUUACCGACAUCGGUUACCGAUUACUGGGGACGGUUAACGGAUAACGGUUCGCCCGGUAAUCCUACCGACCGGUUACCCAUCUCGUUAACUGGACCCGUUAGGUCGGAACCGGGCCGGAACCGGCCUGGAGUAUGCCAUUGGGACGCAAUUAAACCCCCGCCGUGAGAUGUGUCGGUGGCUGUGAGGCAGUUGUGGGGACAUGCCUGGGAGGCUGAAAGGGCAUAAAUCGCAUCAGGAGCCAUCGUACGCCGCAACAACGAUGCAUCACACCAUCAACUAGUUGCCAGAAAGGUGGCAGGGAACGCGGCUUGAUCAGACAUGCUCGCUAGGCAACCAUCAUGGGGAAGGGAUGUAAGGGUGUCCUCCUCUCGGAUGGGUCGAACUACUCCCAGUGGCUCGGCGACUUAGGCGAUUUCUUUGCAACAUCCAAGUUGAAGACUACAUCAACACCCGUCACCUCCGGGCCGCAACGCCCAAGACGCCCUGGAGGAGGACGCACAGGCGCUCGGCUACCUGCAUCUGUCCUGUGAACUGCCCAUCAAGCAGUUGCUCAGGAAUUGCCAGACCAUUCUCGCCGCCAUGCAGCUCUUACAGCAACAAUUGCGUUCUGCAUCCCAGGCCCGGCUGAGCCUGUUGGAGCCGCAGAAACAGCUGAGCAUGCGCGAUGGGAAGACGACCAUUGACUUCGUUCAGCAGGCAGAGCAGCUCCGUAGCAAUAUAAUUGUGGCCGGCGGCCAGUGGGACGAGAGCAUGAUGCACCACGCCAUUCUCCAUGGCCUGCCUCCGCAGUGCACCAUCACCGUCGAGUUGACGAUGUAUCAGCCCAACUUAACAACCCCACAGCUUGUGCUCAUGCUGCGUGAGAAGGAGAACAACCCUAAGACCUAAGCAAGCAAGACAAGCCUGGUGGGAGCUGUCAGCCCUGGCCGUGCUGCCAGUGGAAUCGGCAGCGCCGCCGGUGCUGCAGGCACCGUGGGGGCCAGCGACACCUGCCACUACUGUGGACAGCCAGGUCACUACGUUCGCGAGUGUCCCAUUAAGCAGGCGGACGAGUCCGUCGGCCUUCACCGCAGCAACACAUUCGAGCAGCUGCAUGCCGCCGGCAACAUCAGUUGAGGCAGCUGCAACCGCCACCGUGACUGUGGCGGCAGGGGCACUGGCAGCGGCAAUGGCGGUAACAGCAGGGCUGACAGAGCACAUGAAUGUGGCCAUGCUCGAUGCGGCAACAGCCACCACAAUGGUGGCGACACUGCAGGCGGCAGCAGUGGCAGCGGCUCGGGCAGCAGCAGAAGCAGCCCACGCCAGAGCCGUGCCCCAGUGCUGGUCAUCGACCGCAGUGGAAGCAGCUCACGAGUCACCCUCGACUCAGGCUCACCAUACCACCUCACGGGUGACCGCUCCCUGCUGCACAACCAUGUCCCCGCCGGCGCGCCACGGCUAAUGGGGUGGGGCAACAUGUCGUGGGAACAGGGAAGCUGCACCUGCAUACUCGUGAUGGACACAAUGUCCGGCUGCACAACAUGCUGCACGUCCCCAGCUCGGGCCUCACCCUGACGUCUGUCGACCUCGUGAGAGGUCGACAGACCUCAUGACACGCGGCUACUCGGUCACGUUCAGCAUGGACAAGACGGGCUGCUGGUUCUUAUGCAUCAGCCUCCUGCACAACAGCCCGUCUAUAACCCCAUGGAGUGAGCGUGGGCACGAUGCAUGGACGUGGACCUGCAGGCGCCGACUGACAUCACCGUCAAUGCCCUCAGCACCACGGGUGACAGAGCUGGCAGGGGCCAGGCCGCAGGUAGCAGCGCUGGUGGAAGUGCCACCACCAUCACCAGCACCCGUGGCGGCAGCACCGCCGGCAGCCACACCGGUGGAGGCCAACCGAACGGUGACAGCAACGGCAAAGGGCAACCAGGCAACGGCAGCCCCGGGGCCACUGAAUGCUCAGUCGCCGAACUUGCGGCAGCACAGCACCUGCACUGCCAGUACCGUCACCUCGGUUACCGCGUGCUGAAGCAGCUGAUCAGCAAGCAGCUGGUGCAGGGGCCACAGGUCACUCCAGCGGCACUAUGACAGGCGGUGGAGGCCGUCUGCGAGGCCUGUGUCACCGUGAAGGCCACCGCAACCGCCCACCCCAGCUGCGGCAUCCGGCCAUAGCACGCACUGGAGGUCGUACACUCUGACCUGUGCGGGCCCAUGCCCACCACGGGCCGAGGGGGGGCACGCUACUUGCUGAUGCUGCUGGAUGGUGCCACUGGUCUGUCCGCCGUCUGCAUGCUGGCCAGCAAGAGCCAAUGGGCGAAGUGCUGCAGGACAUGGUGACACAGCUGGAGGCCCGCCACCUGAACCACGCACGGGUACACAUGCUGCACAGCGACAACGGUGGUGAGUACGUCGCCAAGCAACUGGAGCAGUGGCUGCACCAGCACGGCACCGCACACACCCACUCGGCGCCGUACACCCCAGAGCAGAACGGAGCGGUGGAGCGACUCAACCACACGCUCCUCAACUGUGUGCGGGCGAUGCUGCAUGACACAGCACUCCCGGUCAGCUACUGGCUGGAGGCUGCACUCUACACCAACCUCCUGCACAAUGUGGCCCCCUCUCAGGGCCGGGAGGCCACACCGUGGGCAGCUUAUCACGGCUUUCCCCCCAACAUCAGCCACCUCCACACCUUCGGCUGCCUGGCCUACAUCCGCAUCCCAGCCAGCCAGCAGGACAAACUCAGUCCUCGUGCAAAGGCGGGAACCUACCGCUGACCGGAGCAUGGCAUGGCCACCCACCGCGUCCUCGUUGAGGGCAAGGUGACCAUGAGCAGCGACGUCACCUUCAAUGACGACUGCCACAGCCCGGUUCACAACAGGCUGGCACCCUCUUCGGCACUAGCCCCGACUGCCCCGGCGGCAGGGACACUAUCGGCGGCUCUACACCGCCCACCAUGCUGCCGACCCCAGCGGCUACCCCGCCCCCGGCGACCCCAACAACACCCCUUCCAUCGCAAGACCCACAGUCAAUGGCAGUCCCUGCACAUGCCGCAGCCCCGGUCAGUGACGGCCUGCCAACCCGACAGCAGCAGCAGUGGCAGCGGCGGAGAGUCGGGAUGUCCACCGCUGCUCGGGUGAUAGUGCUGACAGUGCUAAGUCUAACAUGCCCGAUGGCAGCGGAGGUGGCGGAGGCAACAGCGUGGUGCACACUGCCAACGACAUGCUGGUGACGGCGGACAACCUGCAACCUGCCCAGUUUAAAUGGGGGGGACCUCGACUGUAAUCACAAAUUUAGAUGCUUAAUUCUCCAUACUGACAUUCUCCUUACACUUCGUCAAUUGCUUAUACUUUACUGUUGCAGCAACUAGCAAUGUGUGGGCAAUUUGCACUGUACGACCAAUGCAAGAAAACAAACCGUUUCAAUCAUUGGAAAAGGCACACAGCCCACAUGCUUGCUAAUGCCAGCCGAUAAAAACUUUCGCCUAAAGCUUUCCAAGAACAAGGGGCAGGAGAGAGGGGAAAGUGCGGGGAAGUGGGGCGGCAGCCCCACGACCCCGCACAUCCCCCCCAAGACAACCUGGCCACCGACAGGCAAUCAUGAUAGGGAUGAGCGGGAGCCAAAGGAAACAUUUAAAAGCAUGAUUACUUCGGCCAUAAGUCGCCCCAAAUGCCUUCUGCACAUAUAAAGCUGAACAUUUGGAGCUUAUGCACCAUUUAUGUAUAAAAUAUUUGAUGAUAUCACCAUGAGACGGCCCGCUGUUGCAUUCAACUUAGGUCAACGGGGCAUUCAUUCAUUCUUGACCAAAGCAAACGGCUCAGAAAGUCCGCAGACGCAAUGCCCCAAACAUUUAGAAGAAGAAUUAGAUAAUACAGAAGACAAGGAUAGGCAUGCCGUAGUUGCCGCUCUUGAAGUCAGUGAAGCCAGCGAUUUGAGUGAAGCUGAGGAUCCCCCAGCGAAGCGGCAACACACAACUGCAGCAAUCAGCGACUCAGCUGAGCAGCUUGAUUCUGACGAGGAAGGGCNNNNNNNNNNNNNNNNNNNNNNNNNNNNNNNNNNNNNNNNNNNNNNNNNNACCUCCUCAAGCUUGUCGGGUUGUGACACGUGGGCAUGAACCUUGUGACAAUGGGCAUUGUCACAAAGAAACUGGUUGCAAUCAGAAAUGCAUUUUUGCUCAUGCCAGGUUACCGACAUCGGUUACCGAUUACUGGGGACGGUUAACGGAUAACGGUUCGCCCGGUAAUCCUACCGACCGGUUACCCAUCUCGUUAACUGGACCCGUUAGGUCGGAACCGGGCCGGAACCGGCCUGGAGUAUGCCAUUGGGACGCAAUUAAACCCCCGCCGUGAGAUGUGUCGGUGGCUGUGAGGCAGUUGUGGGGACAUGCCUGGGAGGCUGAAAGGGCAUAAAUCGCAUCAGGAGCCAUCGUACGCCGCAACAACGAUGCAUCACACCAUCAACUAGUUGCCAGAAAGGUGGCAGGGAACGCGGCUUGAUCAGACAUGCUCGCUAGGCAACCAUCAUGGGGAAGGGAUGUAAGGGUGUCCUCCUCUCGGAUGGGUCGAACUACUCCCAGUGGCUCGGCGACUUAGGCGAUUUCUUUGCAACAUCCAAGUUGAAGACUACAUCAACACCCGUCACCUCCGGGCCGCAACGCCCAAGACGCCCUGGAGGAGGACGCACAGGCGCUCGGCUACCUGCAUCUGUCCUGUGAACUGCCCAUCAAGCAGUUGCUCAGGAAUUGCCAGACCAUUCUCGCCGCCAUGCAGCUCUUACAGCAACAAUUGCGUUCUGCAUCCCAGGCCCGGCUGAGCCUGUUGGAGCCGCAGAAACAGCUGAGCAUGCGCGAUGGGAAGACGACCACUGACUUCGUUCAGCAGGCAGAGCAGCUCCGUAGCAAUAUAAUUGUGGCCGGCGGCCAGUGGGACGAGAGCAUGAUGCACCACGCCAUUCUCCAUGGCCUGCCUCCGCAGUGCACCAUCACCGUCGAGUUGACGAUGUAUCAGCCCAACUUAACAACCCCACAGCUUGUGCUCAUGCUGCGUGAGAAGGAGAACAACCCUAAGACCUAAGCAAGCAAGACAAGCCUGGUGGGAGCUGUCAGCCCUGGCCGUGCUGCCAGUGGAAUCGGCAGCGCCGCCGGUGCUGCAGGCACCGUGGGGGCCAGCGACACCUGCCACUACUGCGGACAGCCAGGUCACUACGUUCGCGAGUGUCCCAUUAAGCAGGCGGACGAGUCCGUCGGCCUUCACCGCAGCAACACAUUCGAGCAGCUGCAUGCCGCCGGCAACAUCAGUUGAGGCAGCUGCAACCGCCACCGUGACUGUGGCGGCAGGGGCACUGGCAGCGGCAAUGGCGGUAACAGCAGGGCUGACAGAGCACAUGAAUGUGGCCAUGCUCGAUGCGGCAACAGCCACCACAAUGGUGGCGACACUGCAGGCGGCAGCAGUGGCAGCGGCUCGGGCAGCAGCAGAAGCAGCCCACGCCAGAGCCGUGCCCCAGUGCUGGUCAUCGACCGCAGUGGAAGCAGCUCACGAGUCACCCUCGACUCAGGCUCACCAUACCACCUCACGGGUGACCGCUCCCUGCUGCACAACCAUGUCCCCGCCGGCGCGCCACGGCUAAUGGGGUGGGGCAACAUGUCGUGGGAACAGGGAAGCUGCACCUGCAUACUCGUGAUGGACACAAUGUCCGGCUGCACAACAUGCUGCACGUCCCCAGCUCGGGCCUCACCCUGACGUCUGUCGACCUCGUGAGAGGUCGACAGACCUCAUGACACGCGGCUACUCGGUCACGUUCAGCAUGGACAAGACGGGCUGCUGGUUCUUAUGCAUCAGCCUCCUGCACAACAGCCCGUCUAUAACCCCAUGGAGUGAGCGUGGGCACGAUGCAUGGACGUGGACCUGCAGGCGCCGACUGACAUCACCGUCAAUGCCCUCAGCACCACGGGUGACAGAGCUGGCAGGGGCCAGGCCGCAGGUAGCAGCGCUGGUGGAAGUGCCACCACCAUCACCAGCACCCGUGGCGGCAGCACCGCCGGCAGCCACACCGGUGGAGGCCAACCGAACGGUGACAGCAACGGCAAAGGGCAACCAGGCAACGGCAGCCCCGGGGCCACUGAAUGCUCAGUCGCCGAACUUGCGGCAGCACAGCACCUGCACUGCCAGUACCGUCACCUCGGUUACCGCGUGCUGAAGCAGCUGAUCAGCAAGCAGCUGGUGCAGGGGCCACAGGUCACUCCAGCGGCACUAUGACAGGCGGUGGAGGCCGUCUGCGAGGCCUGUGUCACCGUGAAGGCCACCGCAACCGCCCACCCCAGCUGCGGCAUCCGGCCAUAGCACGCACUGGAGGUCGUACACUCUGACCUGUGCGGGCCCAUGCCCACCACGGGCCGAGGGGGGGCACGCUACUUGCUGAUGCUGCUGGAUGGUGCCACUGGUCUGUCCGCCGUCUGCAUGCUGGCCAGCAAGAGCCAAUGGGCGAAGUGCUGCAGGACAUGGUGACACAGCUGGAGGCCCGCCACCUGAACCACGCACGGGUACACAUGCUGCACAGCGACAACGGUGGUGAGUACGUCGCCAAGCAACUGGAGCAGUGGCUGCACCAGCACGGCACCGCACACACCCACUCGGCGCCGUACACCCCAGAGCAGAACGGAGCGGUGGAGCGACUCAACCACACGCUCCUCAACUGUGUGCGGGCGAUGCUGCAUGACACAGCACUCCCGGUCAGCUACUGGCUGGAGGCUGCACUCUACACCAACCUCCUGCACAAUGUGGCCCCCUCUCAGGGCCGGGAGGCCACACCGUGGGCAGCUUAUCACGGCUUUCCCCCCAACAUCAGCCACCUCCACACCUUCGGCUGCCUGGCCUACAUCCGCAUCCCAGCCAGCCAGCAGGACAAACUCAGUCCUCGUGCAAAGGCGGGAACCUACCGCUGACCGGAGCAUGGCAUGGCCACCCACCGCGUCCUCGUUGAGGGCAAGGUGACCAUGAGCAGCGACGUCACCUUCAAUGACGACUGCCACAGCCCGGUUCACAACAGGCUGGCACCCUCUUCGGCACUAGCCCCGACUGCCCCGGCGGCAGGGACACUAUCGGCGGCUCUACACCGCCCACCAUGCUGCCGACCCCAGCGGCUACCCCGCCCCCGGCGACCCCAACAACACCCCUUCCAUCGCAAGACCCACAGUCAAUGGCAGUCCCUGCACAUGCCGCAGCCCCGGUCAGUGACGGCCUGCCAACCCGACAGCAGCAGCAGUGGCAGCGGCGGAGAGUCGGGAUGUCCACCGCUGCUCGGGUGAUAGUGCUGACAGUGCUAAGUCUAACAUGCCCGAUGGCAGCGGAGGUGGCGGAGGCAACAGCGUGGUGCACACUGCCAACGACAUGCUGGUGACGGCGGACAACCUGCAACCUGCCCAGUUUAAAUGGGGGGGACCUCGACUGUAAUCACAAAUUUAGAUGCUUAAUUCUCCAUACUGACAUUCUCCUUACACUUCGUCAAUUGCUUAUACUUUACUGUUGCAGCAACUAGCAAUGUGUGGGCAAUUUGCACUGUACGACCAAUGCAAGAAAACAAACCGUUUCAAUCAUUGGAAAAGGCACACAGCCCACAUGCUUGCUAAUGCCAGCCGAUAAAAACUUUCGCCUAAAGCUUUCCAAGAACAAGGGGCAGGAGAGAGGGGAAAGUGCGGGGAAGUGGGGCGGCAGCCCCACGACCCCGCACAUCCCCCCCAAGACAACCUGGCCACCGACAGGCAAUCAUGAUAGGGAUGAGCGGGAGCCAAAGGAAACAUUUAAAAGCAUGAUUACUUCGGCCAUAAGUCGCCCCAAAUGCCUUCUGCACAUAUAAAGCUGAACAUUUGGAGCUUAUGCACCAUUUAUGUAUAAAAUAUUUGAUGAUAUCACCAUGAGACGGCCCGCUGUUGCAUUCAACUUAGGUCAACGGGGCAUUCAUUCAUUCUUGACCAAAGCAAACGGCUCAGAAAGUCCGCAGACGCAAUGCCCCAAACAUUUAGAAGAAGAAUUAGAUAAUACAGAAGACAAGGAUAGGCAUGCCGUAGUUGCCGCUCUUGAAGUCAGUGAAGCCAGCGAUUUGAGUGAAGCUGAGGAUCCCCCAGCGAAGCGGCAACACACAACUGCAGCAAUCAGCGACUCAGCUGAGCAGCUUGAUUCUGACGAGGAAGGGCCACCACCCCAAGAUGUCGCCACGGCACCACCGCCACCUUCAAGGGUGGGUGCUUUGCACCAUGCACCGCUGGUGAUUCAAAAGCAGGCGUGGCUCCAGCAAACACAGCAUGUGCCGAAAGGCCAAAGCCAUGGGAGCUGGCGGGAGAAUGAGGGAGUGCGUCGCUUCCAGGCGCACUGGACAGCUUGUCGAAUGGGCUGAGUGUGUUGCACCGGAUGUGGAGGCUGGUGAGGUGCAUGACCGUGUCCGGUGCGGUCCCUGCUCCCUCAGCCGGUAGCGGGACAUCACGAUGGAUGCCAGGCAGGCCACAAUAAAAAGCCACGAGCUUUGCGAGUGUUGUUUACAGCACACCGUACAGCCUUUGAGGGGGGGGUCUGGGGGGGCGCANCCCCCCCAGCGACUAUACAAAAAGGAAUUGUAACCGCAAGAAACAGCCAGUUUAUUACUCUAGGGUAUUAGGCCCCAAACGAAAAAAAAAACACUGAUAGGGAGAGGAGAAGGACGGGGAAUGGAGGCGGUCAUAUAGUGCAGGGAAGAACCCUUUUUCUUCCCUAGUGCCGCUCCAAGGUUGUAGGGUGCUGGAGACCGGGGGGAGGUGGGGUCGCUCGGACAGGGGAGGGGGGAAAUGGCGGUGAGAGCGCCAAAAGGAUGUAGGUUUACUGAUGUUUGGGAGGUUGAGGUCUGGGGGUGGUAGCGGGGCUCGGAUGCGGGGGAGAUGUGGCCCGAGGAGGGCCAUUCUACUUAGGCACGUCUUCUCUGUGGGAAUGGGUUGCUUGGUGAGGGACGAGGGUGAGAGCGGUGCAGUACGAGACAGGGUGAAUAGGUUUCUGGAGGACCAACCGUUCAGGUUAGUGGCGGUAAGGGGGAGGCGCCGUGUGGGCUACAAUCCUCCCCCUGCGGUUUUCUGGAGGAUCUAGGAGCUGUGUGUCGUGGCAAUGCUUUCAUGUUUGUGGUUUCACCGGUCUAUCCCGGGCCCCUGCAGUGGUGAUCGGGCUUGUGUGUGGUCCCUUUUUGGGCGGGGCCCCAGCGCGAAGCGCCCAGGGGGGCCCCGACCUGUAGGAUUGCCCAUGUCCGUGUGUGUGUGUGUGUGUGUGUGUGUGUGUGUGUGUGUGUGUGUGUGUGUGUAACGGACCAAACAUAAUAUCUCGCCUGGCUGAAACGCGUUAUAGGUACUAUACAGCAUUCUCUAUUGCAAGGUAUCUCGCAUGUAGCCAACAAAAAUCGUAUGAGCGCAAACAAGUUUGGCUGCCUCAAUUGACCGAGGCCAAAGUCACAUCAACGCCUCUCGCGCUAAAUUUCAUCGCAAAAGGUACCGCGUAUCUCAUAUUUGAAUUCUUAGAUGACGGCGUAUGAUAACUCGAACUCCCAGGCCUUGAGUGUGUAACGGACCAAACAUAAUAUUUC
RNAcentral lists this long non-coding RNA (46279 nucleotides) under Volvox carteri. Its description in RNAcentral is "long non-coding RNA (VCAR_LNC003435)". The record is from RNAcentral. Lineage: Eukaryota; Viridiplantae; Chlorophyta; Chlorophyceae; Chlamydomonadales; Volvocaceae.